UUUGAAGAAAUGUAAUUCGUUGAAUUCGACUUUGAUAUAUUAAUGAAUAUUGUGAAGACAAUCUCUAAUAUUUACUCAUUUGAUGUUUUUCCUCGAAUACAAGUUAAAAACUUAAAACUUCUUGGUCUUCGAUCUACAGAAUAUUUUAGUUGCAAGUCGAUUUGAACUUCGAUCUUCUGAAAUCCAAGGAAAGCUUAAUCUUCUAAGUCUUCAAUCUUUCAAAAGUUGUUGAUCUUGAGGUUGAUACAAACUUGAACGUCUUGAGAGCUUGUACAAGUUUGCAUCUCCAAUUCUUCAGAGCUUCGAUUAUUCUUUCAACCACAGACCUCCUUAACGAGUGACAAAUGUCUCUAUUUAUAGAGAAAUUUUGUGGGCUUUAGGUGGGCUUGGGCUCAUUUGCUUGUUGGACUUGAGCUUGGGUCCAUUUUCUUGACGGGCUCGGGCCCACUUGUUUGGCCCGAUUUUUCAUCAGGGGCUUGCAUUGGGUUGGAUAUGAGAAAACUUGCCUACCCAAAAUUCAAUCAAAUUUUAAUCAUCAUAAUUUGUUGUGAUGACAUGGAAAAAUUUAAUUGGCCGAAUAUUCUUUUCAAAUGUAACUUCGCCUUUAUAAUUAUUAAAAAGAUUAUUCUCGACCAAUUUAUGAAAAAAAAUCAUGUAUUAGAAAGUUCAUUAUAUUUUAAUAAUAUUAAAAUUUAAAACUAAAUUGUUGCAAAUAUAAAAAUAUAUGCAUACUCAUGUUAUUUUCAUAUAAGUUAUAAAGUCAAAUUGUUGUUUUCAUGGAGAGUUAAGUUGUAGCAACAUGAAAGUUCAAGGAAAGGGUUUUUUUUAACAUUUUUUUUCUCCAUUGGCACUCAAAUUGAGACUUGAGAAUUAAAAAAUGAAAUUUACAUAAUUAACGAGACUCAAAACAUAACAUAAGUAAUAAACAUUUUAAUUUGUUUAAAAUAAUAAAAUAUUUAGAAUUGUUUUCAAAUAUAGCAAAACUUUUUAAAAUAUUUAUAAAUAUAACAAAAUUGUAGUUUUCAUCACUAAUAGAUCCAAAAUAAACAUUUAUCACUCUAAUGAUAAACACUAAUAAAUUCAACAUCUAUUAUACACAGAAAAAGUAAGAUGUUAUAUUUGUGAAUACAAGAGAAUUCAUCUUCAUCUUUCAUGUGUCGCAACCGAGAGAAUCAUCAUUUUAUCUUCUAUGUGUUGCAGUCGAUAGGCUUCUCCAUGUUCAAGUUUGGCGUGAUAUCCAUCAUAAAAUUCAAGUCAAACUAAUGAUAAAGUUGGGUGUACUUUUAUCUUCAAUCUUGGUCGAUGUGCUCUAUCUUCAAGCUUUACGCUUCAAAAAAGGAAAUAAGUUAUUGUUUAAAAAAGAAAAAGGUAAACUAAAAGAAAUGAAAAAUGAAAAAGAACCAAAAAAAAAAGAAAGGAGAAAAGAAACAUAAAAUGAAGGAAGAAGAGGAAAGAAGGAAGAAGGAAGAGGAAGAAAAAGAAAAAGGAAGAAGAAGAAAGAAGGGGAAGAAAAAAAAAGAAAAGAAAGAAAAGAAACGAAAAGAAAAAGAGAAGAAUGAAGACGUCUGAUCGCUCCUUCUAAGGAGGUGAAUCUGACGACAAAAGUCUGAUCGUCUCUUUGAAGAAAUUGGAUCGCUGACGGCAAAGAAAAUUCGAGAAGCUCGAUCGCUCCUACUAGGGAGGUGGAUUUGAAUCGUUCCCUAGAAGAAGUUGGAUCACUGAUGGCGAAGUAGAUCGAGAUGCCGGAUCGCUUCUAUUAGGGAGGUGGAUCUAACAGCAAAAGUCUGAUCUCGUCCCUUAAAAGAAGUUAGAUCGCUGACGAUGAAGUAGAACCGAAAUGCCCGAUCGUUCCUACUAGGGAGGUGGAUUUGAAGGCCAAAGCCCGAUCGUCCCCUGAAAUAAGUUGGGUCACUAACUACGAAGCAAAAUCGAGAAGUCUGAUCUUUCCUACUAGGGAGGUGGAUCUGAUGGAAGAAGCUCAAUCAUCCUUUAGAAGAAGUUGGAUCGUGGACGACAAAGUAGAAUCGAGAUGCCCGAUCGUUCCUACUAAGGAAGUAGAUCUGACGGCCAAAGCCCGAUUGUCCCCUACUAGGAGUUGGAUCGCUGACGACGAAGAAGAAUUGAAAAGCCCGAUUGUCUCCUAGUAGAAGUUGGAUCGCUGAUAGCAAAGAAUAAUCGGGAUGCCCGAUCGUUCUUACUAAGGAGGUGGAUCUGACGGCAAAUGUCCAAUUGUCCUCUAGUAGAAGUUGGAUUGUUGAUAAUAGAGUCAUAGUUCAAACGUUUGCAUACAAAAAGAAAGGGAAGAAGAAGUUCUUACUUUUAGCUCCUGUAAAAAAAAAAGGGAAGGAAAAAAAAAAAAAGAAAAAAAGAGAGAGAGAAAGGGAGAAGAUAAAUUUUGUUGCUGGAUAAAGAGUAAAUGAUUAAGGUGUGAGUCUAUUUAUAAGGUCAACAAAUCCAAUUCUUAAAAGAAUUAGGAAUGAUAUUUAAUCAUUUUUUUUAUAACGAAUCUAAUUAUAAAAGGAUUAGGAAUGAUAUUUAAUCUUUUUUUAAUAAUAAAGAAAAGAUGAUCCAAUUAUCUUAUCUUAUUUUAAUUAUUUUCAAUAUUUAAAAUAGAAAAGAUAAUCCAAUUACUUUAUCUUAUUUUAUUUUUAGGACAAAUUUUGAAUUUAAUUUGUGAGAUAAUUAAAAUAUUUAAAUAUCUCAACAUUUUAAAAAAAAAUUAUUACUAAUUUUAAAAUUAAAAUUUGGGUUCAAAAUCCAAAAAUUAGCUUGGAUAUAUGGUUUCUUUUUAAUCUCAAGUAUAUAUUGGAGCCAUAAAUCCAACUUUAUCUCAAGAUUUAGGGUCUCAUUUUUAUCUCAAAUUAAAAUUGGUAAUUCCAAAUUAUUGUGCAUCCUCGAGAUAAAUUAAGGUAUGGUAGAGACUUCAUCCUUAUUUCAAAUUAAAAUUUUGGUUAUGUUCAAAAUUUUAUUUUUAAAAAUAUUAAAUUUAAAUUUUUAUCCCCAAAUCAAAUUAAAUGGUAAAACUUUGAAAUUUUAUCAAAUUAAUUAAGGUUUUGUCAUAUUACAUCCCUUAUUUCAAAUUGAAAUCAAACUCAUGUGCUAAAUUCAUAGUUUGGUUAAUUUGAUAUGUUAAAUUGAGCAAAAAAAAAAAAAAAAGCUCGUAUUUUGACUUCAAAUUUUUUUUUCAAUAUUCAUUCACCCAUAUACGUGCAUAAAUCUCGAAAGGGGCAUUUAUUUUAUAGAAAAUUUUGAGAUGAAUCACAAAUUGCCACGUCAUUUACUAAAUUAAUAAUGAAAAGUGCAAAUAAUUGAAUAUGAGACUAAUUAAAAAAUUAAUAUGUGUCCCAAAUUAAAAUUGAAAACAUAAAUUAGCCAAUUCUGAUAAUGUCAUGUGUUUUCAUCAUAACCGUUGGAUCAAGUUAAUUAUUUUCGUUCAAUUAAAUAUUUUUUACUUAGGUUAAGUUCAAUUGAGCCAAAAAAUAAGCUUAAUUGAGUCCAAAUGUAAAUAUGACUCAAAUCCUUGGUAUGAUCUAUGGAGUAACUAGGCUCAAGCUCUUAAAACCUACUAGAUAACUCUAUAAAUAGAGGAGCUCUCUUCAUUUGUAAGUGUUGGAAAUUUUUUACUUCAAAAAGUCUAGAGAGAAUUCUCCCAAGAACUGGAAGACUCCCUAACUCCUAAAGUCGACCGCCCUCGAAGAUUGGAGAUCCUUUGAAGAUACAAGAUUUCUUCCAAGACUCCAACUUCUACAAGCUUUCUUCUAAGAUUCCAACUUCCCUCAAAUAUUUAAGCUUCUUUGAAGAUACAAACUUUCUUCCAAGACUCCAACUUCAAGAACAUCAUGUGCUCUGUUUCCUCUAAUCAAACGUAAGCAUCCAACAGAGAAAGAAUUAGAGGAUUAAAUUCUAGAGAUCAAACCACAUCACAUCAAAUCAACUUAAGUUCAAAUCCACGAAUCAAGUUUCUUCGAAAAUCUCGUGCAAACAGACAUUAUAUCAUUUUUCUACUCUCUUUCUCUAAAAUCUUUUCUUUGUUCGAUUCUUUUAAAUUAUACUUAAAAGAAAAUUAAUGUCCUAUAUUUAUUAAAUAGUUACAUAAUUAAAAAAUUAAGUCAAGAAAAGGAUAAGGUAAAGAUAACCAAUAACAACGUAUACAAGUUUUCUCGAUUAUAGACGAGAUGAUGUAAACCUAAGAGUUAAGUAAUUAUUAAAAGGAAUUGUAUAGUUUAAAACUAAAGUGAAUUUGAUGUCUUGAGUUUUAAUCUUUCAUGAGAUGGAUAUGCAUUUUCGAUAACACAAAGGGAUUAUAUAUUAUAUAUUUUAUAGUUCCCUCUAAUUGUAUUUUUUUGUUUUUCAUUACUGUUCGAAUAAGAAAUUUUGAGACCAAUCACAAGUUGCCACAUCAUUUAUUAAGUUAAUGAUGAAAAGUACAAAUAAUUAAAUUUGGGACUAAUUAAAAUUGACAUAUGCUCCAAAUUAAAGAGUUAAAAAUAAAUAAAAUGGUCAUUCUAAUAAUGCCACAUGUUUUCAUAUUAAUAGUUGGAUUAAGUUAAUCAUUUUAGUUCAAUUAAAUAUUAUUUACUUGGACUAAGUUCAAUUAAGCCCAAAAAAUAAGCUUAAUUGAGCCCAAAGACUAAAUAUAACCUAAGUCCAUAUGGUUGAGCCCAUGGGUCUGGUCCAUUAGACCAACCAGGUUCAAACCCAUAAAGCCCACCAAUGAACUCUAUAAAUAGAGGAAUUCUCCUCAUUUGUAGGGGUUGGAAAAUUUUGACUCUAGAAGAUCCAUAGAGAAUUCUUCAAAGAGCUAGGAGACUCCCUAACUCCUGAAGUCGACCAUCCUCGAAGAUUGAGAUUGAAGCUUCUUUAAAGAUACAAGCUUUCUUCCAAGGCUUCAACUUCAAGAACAUCACGUGCUUCGCUUCCUCCAAAUCAAGCUGAAGCAUCCAGUUGAGAGAGAAUCAGAGGAUCAAAUUCUAGAGAUUGAACCGCAUCACAUCAAAUCAACAAAAAUACAACAUCAACUCCAACUUCAAGUCCACGAAUUAAAUUUCUCCGGAAAUCUCGUGCGAACAAAUUGGCACGCCCGGUGGGACCAUCUCUACCUCUCAUCUCUCUCUCAUCAUCUAGAUCUACAAGCAAAUCAAUGGCAUCAAAGAAAGCUGCAUCCAAAUCUUCAGCUGCAAGCGACACCUACACGGGACCUAUCACCCGUAGUCGUUCCAAGGGGAUCAUCCAAGGGCAAGAUCAAGGUUCCGCCAUCGCGCAGAGCAUCAUGAAGCAAUUGAUGGAAUCUCCUAGAGCUGGAAUUGUCAUCAAGGAAAAUCCUCUAUAUAAUGAUUAUGAUUCUGCAUCUAGCAGGUCACUGAAAGAAGCACACCCAGAUGUGAUGUCCGUCAUGAUGGCUGAUGUAGCAGUCGAGACUGCCAUGGCGGAGAUGGAGAGAAAAAUUAAUCUCCUGAUGAAGGUUGUUGAUGAACGAGACCACGAAAUUGCAGCUUUAAAGGAGCAGAUGCAGACUCGUGAAACUGCUGAAUCGAGUCAAAUGUGUUAAUGCGUCCGUGUAAAGUUGAUGACAAAGGGAAGAACGUCGUACAAGAAAAUCAGCCACAACAACAAUCAACUUCUGUGGCUUCUCUCUCGUUCAACAAUUACAAGAUAUGAUCACAAACUCCAUCAGAGCACAAUAUGGAGGCCCAUCUCAGACUUCUUUCAUGUACUCUAAACCAUACACCAAAAGAAUCGACAACUUGAGAAUGCCGCUUGGAUAUCAGCCUCCAAAAUUCCAGCAGUUUGACGGAAAGGGCAAUCCAAAACAGCACGUUGCUCACUUCGUCGAAACAUGUGAGAAUGCAGGAUCAAGAGGAGAUCAACUAGUCAGACAAUUUGUUCGAAGCUUGAAAGGAAAUGCUUUUGAAUGGUAUACUGAUCUGGAGCCAGAAAGCAUUGAGAGUUGGGAACAACUAGAAAAGGAGUUUCUCAAUCGCUUCUACAGCACCAGGCGUACUGUAAGCAUGAUGGAGCUUACAAAUACGAAACAAAGAAAGGGAGAACCAGUCAUCGACUACAUCAAUAGAUGGAGAGCUCUAAGUCUUGACUGUAAAGAUCGGCUCACCGAACUGUCGGCUGUAGAAAUGUGCACCCAAGGCAUGCACUGGGGACUCCUCUACAUUUUGCAGGGAAUAAAGCCCCGCACAUUUGAAGAACUGGCAACUCGAGCUCAUGAUAUGGAGUUGAGCAUCGCCAGUAGAGGAACUAAAGAUUUUCUUGUUCCUGAAGUAAAGAAAGAUAAGAAAGAGAUGAAAGGUGCUGAAAAGAUAGUGAAAAGCACGCGAAAGAAUCUAUGGUCGUAAACACAACCCCGCUGAAAUUCUCCAAAGGAAAGGAAGCGAGGGUUGAAAAGAAGGAUGAUGGAAGCGAAAGGCGACGUCUGACUUUAAAAGAAAGGCAGGAAAAAGUUUACCCAUUUCCUGAUUCAGAUAUCGCUGACAUGCUAGAGCAACUACUAGAGAAGCAGCUGAUCCAGCUGCCAGAAUGUAAACGACCUGAGCAAGCAGGAAAGGUAGAUGAUCCCAAUUACUGCAAGUAUCAUCGGGUCAUCAGUCAUCCAGUAGAGAAAUGCUUCGUGCUGAAGGAGCUAAUUCUAAGGUUGGCUCGUGAGAAAAGGAUUGAGCUAGAUUUGGAGGAAGUAGCUCAAACAAACCACGCUGAAGUGACGAUAAUGUCUGAGGCUUCUUCGUCGAGAUUGAUUUUUGAGCAAAGGAAAAGCUUGGUCCAGUUCGGGACCUUUGAGCCUAUAGUUGUCCAAUUCUUUCAGGAAAUCUCAUACGAGGAUCCUCAAGGAGAGAAAAGACCAAUCGAAGAAGACGAUGAAGGGUGGAUAGUGGUGACCCACCGAAAGAAAAGACAGUCGAUCCCGACCCAAAGAGAGUCUCGCUCUUACCAAAACUAUAGAAGAGGAAAUAAGACUCAAAAGAAUAAGAAAAAGAAGAAGACUCAUAAGCUUAAGCUCGUACAUAAUGAAGACAUGAAUUUCUCUCGACCUCAACGCUUAGUGACCUUGGCAGACUUCCUUCCAAAAAGCUUCCUUUGUGAUCAUCAGGAUGAAGACCCAGAAGUCGUUGCGUGUCAUGCUAUCAACACAACGGAGGAAGAAAUAAUCCCUCCAAGAUCACUAGAAGGAGAGGGAGUAUCAAAAGACCUUUCAAGGUUUAAUGUAGAGGAUCUAUUAUCACUUCCUCAAGAGACCAAAACCAUCCUUAUUGAUGCAUUGCUAAAUUCAAGAGCAUCAAGUUCGAGUACUCCGACUAUGACAUAUGAGAGUGGUUCUUAUUGUAUGUCUAUAGACUUCUCAGAUGAGGAUUUGUUGUUGGGAUCUAAACUUCAUAAUAGACCUUUGUAUGUUUCUGGAUACGUUCGAGAACAGAGAGUCGAUCGAAUCCUCAUUGAUAAUGGCUCAGCUGUCAACAUAAUGCCAAAGUCGACUAUGUGGCAAUUAGGCAUCUUGAUGGACGAGCUCUCAAAUAGCAAGCUAGUAAUUCAAGGUUUUAACCAAGGUAGCCAAAGAGCAAUAGGCAUGAUACGGUUAGAACUCAUAAUUGGCGACCUAAAGGCCAGUGCAUUGUUUCAUGUCAUAGACUCAAGGACUACUUACAAGUUGUUACUAGGGCGUCCUUGGAUUCAUGGAAACGGAGUAGUAACUUCAACACUGCAUCAGUGCUUCAAAUUUUAUCAGGACGGUGUAAAGAAGGUUGAAGCCGACUCUAAUCCAUUCUCAGAAGCUGAGUCUCACUUCGCAGAUGCAAAGUUUUAUUCAAAGAAUAAUAAUAUUUUAGAAGUUUUGCCUGCAGAAACCCCUCUUACAAAAGGAGAAGAUAAUUCACAACUGAAAUCACUCGCAACCACAGAACCACAUGAAAGUGCGAGAACCUUUAACUCUGGAAAGGGUGAAGCAUACACUAGCAGCACAAAGGGUAUGAUCUUGAAGGAUGAAAAUGCUGCAAACACACCAGUUUUGCGUUAUGUCCCUCUGUCAAGGCGCAAGAAAGGCGAAUCACCAUUCAUGGAGUCUCCAAAAGGUUUGAAAGUUGGUGACAUCGAAAUCAUAAAAGAAAGCUUCACUACACCACUAACUAAGAUAGCGAAGCAGGAGGUAAAGGUAGAUCUGGUGGAAGCAAACUUGCCCCAAAGGCGAACGAAAGACGGAUUCGACCCCAAGGCUUACAAAUUGAUGGCGAAAGCAGGUUAUGACUUCACAGCUCACACCGAGUUUAAAAGCUUGGAAAUUCAUGACCGACCUGAGCUCUCCUCAACUCAAAAGAAGCUUCUACGGGAAGGACAUUCUAUACCCGUGUCGAGAAAAGGACUCGGAUACAAGUCGCCAGAACCGAUCCGUAUAACUAAAAAGGGGAAGGAAAAAGUGGUUGACAUCAAUCAUAUAACUAUAGAGGAGGAUGACAAUACUGACGUAAAAGAAGGUGAUAAUCAGAGAAUCUCAGUAUUUGAUCGAAUUAGACCAUCUGUUGCACGUCCCGUAGUAUUUGAAAGGCUAAGCAUGACAGAGGCAGAAAGAGAAAGGCUCCAGUCAGUACCAAACCUUGAGAGACAUUCGGUCUUUCGAAGGCUAACUACGACUCCCAUAAAGGAAGAAAGCACAUGCCAUGCCUUGACAACUACAAGACCAUCAGCCUUUGAAAGGGUAUGUGUCUAAAAAGAAAAAUGUACAAGCACCCCGUGCUCCGAUUUUUAAUCAUCUCGGGGAUAAAGGAUCACACGACAACAUUGAUUCCAACAUAGAUACAAAGAAGAAGGAACCAAUGUCUCGUGUGAAAGUUUGGCGUCGAAUUAAGCAUACAGAUGUCGAUAAUUAUCGUAGUAAGAAGUUUCCUUGCGAGACAAAGGAAAAUGGAGAAAUUCAUAGCAACGUUCCUUCUCGCAUGAAAAGAAAAACUUUUGUUACUCUCAAUACAAGUCAAGGUUCGUUAAAGGUAAAAAGACAUGACAAACCACUAAUAUUGUACAUUGCUGCACAAGAAAGGUCCUUAGGAGCAUUACUGGCACAAGAAGAGGUAAAGGGAAAGGAGCGUUCUCUCUACUAUCUAAUCAGAACAUUAAUUGGGGCUGAAGUUAACUAUUCUCCUAUCGAAAAGAUGUGUCUUGCACUUUUCUUUGCCAUUGAUAAGUUGAGGCAUUACAUGCAGGCCUUCACGGUUCAUCUAGUGGCAAAAGCAGACCCUAUAAAGUAUGUUCUAUCCAGGCCAAUCAUCUCUGGACGCUUAGCCAAAUGGGCGGUUCUACUCCAACAAUAUGACAUUGUCUAUAUUCCCCAAAAGGCGAUAAAAGGACAAGCGCUAGCAGACUUUUUAGUAGACCACCCAAUUCCUUCGGAUUGGAAGUUAUGUGAUGACCUACCAGACGAUGAGGUUUUCUUCACAGAGUUAUGGAACCUUGGACUAUGUACUUCGAUGGUGCAGCUCGAAGAAGUGGUGCGGGGGCAGGCAUUGUCCUCAUUUCUCUUGAGAAGCAUAUGUUGCCUUAUAGCUUUGCACUUUCUGAAUUGUGUUCAAACAAUGUGGCUGAAUAUCAGGCUUUGAUAAUUGGCCUUCAAAUAGCAUUAGAAAUCGGAGUGUCAUUCAUAGAGGUCUAUGGUGAUUCAAAAUUGAUGAUCAAUCAACUCUCGCUUCAAUAUGACGUGAAACAUGAAGACUUGAAGCCAUAUUUUGCUUAUGCUCGACAAUUGAUGGAAAAGUUUGAUAAUGUGAUGUUAGAACAUGUCCCUAGAGUAGAAAAUAAGAGAGCGGAUGCAUUGGCAAAUUUAGCCACGACCUUGACCAUGCCAGAUGAUGUAACUCUGAACAUACCACUUUGUCAACGAUGGAUUAUACCCCCAGUUAGGCCUGAAUGUCAGGAAGUGAAUAUGGCAACAUCCUAUUUGAUUGAUGAAGAAGAUUGGCGUCAACCCAUCAUAGAGUAUCUUGAACAUGGAAAGCUUCUAAAGGAUUCUCGUCAUAAAAUUGAGAUACGAAGAAGGGCAGCACACUUCAUUUAUUACAAGGGAACUUUAUAUCGUCGUUCUCUUGAAGGGCUCUUCCUUCGAUGUCUCGAAAAGGAAGAUUCGGUAAAAGCUCUAAAGGAAGUACAUGCAGGUGUUUGUGGAGCACAUCAAUCGGGAUCAAAGCUUCAAUUCCAGCUAAGAAGAAUGGGCUACUACUGGCCUAAGAUGAUCCAAGAUUCAAUAGACUAUGUGAAGAAGUGUGAGCCUUGUCAAUACCAUGCAAACUUCAUACACCAACCUUCAGAACCUCUUCAUCCAACUGUGGCUUCUUGGCCUUUUGAGGCUUGGGGACUCGAUCUGGUUGGCCCCAUUACACCAAAAUCAUCAGCAGGACAUUCUUAUAUCCUAGCAGCAACAGACUAUUUUUCAAGUGGGCUGAGGCCAUUUCCUUGAGAGAAGCCAAGAAGGAGAACGUGGCAUACUUUAUUCGAACACACAUCAUCUAUCGAUACGGUGUUCCACAUCGAAUCGUGACGGAUAAUGGAAAGCAAUUCUCCAAUAGUAUGAUGGACAAGUUAUGUGAAAAAUUCAAAUUCAAGCAAUAUAAGUCAUCCAUGUACAACGCAGCUGCGAAUGGACUAGCAGAAGCAUUCAACAAAACAUUGUGUAAUCUUUUAAAGAAAAUUGUCUCCAAGUCAAAGAGGAAUUGACAAGAAAAGAUCGGCGAGGCAUUAUGGGCUUAUCGGACGACUCAUCGCACCCCUACAGGGGUUACACCAUAUUCGCUUGUUUACGGUGUGGAGGCUGUCCUUCCUCUCGAAAGGGAAAUUCCGUCACUAAGAAUGGCAGUACAAGAGGGAUUGACUACCGAAGAUAAUGUGAAGUUACGUCUUCAAGAAUUAGAAGCACUUGACGAAAAGCGAUUAGAGGCUCAGCAAGCAUUGGAAUGUUAUCAAGCGAGAAUGUCCAAAGCUUUUGAUAAACACGUUAAACCUCGCUCCUUUCAAGUCGGUGAUCUAGUACUUGCCGUAAGGAGACCGAUCAUCACAACAAGGCAUACAGGAAAUAAGUUCACACCUAAAUGGGAUGGACCCUACAUUGUUAAAGAAGUUUAUACAAAUGGCGCAUACAAGAUCGUUGAUCAAGACGGACUACGAAUUGGCCCAAUCAAUGGUAAAUUUCUUAAAAAAAUUUAUGCUUAAUUUUGUUAGGUAAAAAAAAAAAAAAAAAGUUGAACUACGUUAUGACUUGAUCCCUAUAUUAUAAAUGGUACGUAGGCAGCUUAAGGAAAACCUUAAGCCCAGUCCAGCAAAAAAAGGUUGAACUACGUUACGACUUGAUCCCUAUAUUAUAAAGGGUACGUAGGCAGCUUGAAGGAAACUUUAAGUUCAGUCCAAAAAAAAAAAAGAGGGAAGAAAGACAAAUUACAUUUAAUAGAAAAUAUGAUGAGGAGUGGAACAAUGAAAGAAUAAUUUUUAUUAUUAUGAACUUCUAGCAAAAAAAAAAAAAAUUAAAAAGGCAUAAGUAGAUAAAUAAGAGAAAGCAGAGAAUCAUGGAGUCCAUUUAAAGUUCUUCAGCUCCUCUAGUGUGCUUUCUAAAGAUUCACGAAGUGUUGAUAGCAUUUUAGCAUCAAUAUCUCCAACGAUCGGGGCACAUUCGAGUUUGUCAAUUUCCUCACAAGUCUUCGAAAUCUCAUGUUGCUUCUGCUUCAGCUCCAGGUCGUUCUUAAAAAUUAUUCCAGAAAGUUUAGCAGACUCAGCCCGCACCAUCUUUAGUUUUGCCUCUAGUUUAGCCUCCUUGGCGGACAGUCGUGUAAGACGACGUUUAGCAGUGUUGGUCUCUGCCAAUAUACGAUUCUCAUCAACUCGCAGAGUCUUCACAAAACCUUUUGCCUCCGUUAGCUGAACAUCCUUAGUUGAUUGGAGUAGAAAUGAGGAAUGUAUUUGAUUAUGGUUCUCGACACCUUGGAAGUAACCAUUCACAAGCUCCCUCAAAACAAUAAGGUUGUCGCUGCCGCUAGUCGCAAUCGCAUCAAAGAUCUUAUGCAUUUCUGGUUCAAGACUACUCAGUCGUUCAAAAGGGGUACGAAUGAUCUUCUGUCGUAGGUUUUCCCAUAAGGUUAUGGCAGCCUGUCGUCGGAGGUCAGAAAUUAAGCUGUCAGCACAAAAAUGAGAAAUCUCAGAAACUGUAAUAGGCUCCGUGCCUUCCACUUUUUGAGGAGGUCCCUUGAUCACAGGAGGACAAGCAGACACAAUAUUUGCGCCUAUAGGUUCCUUAGAGUUUCCAUUAUAAGAAAGUACAAUGUUACAGUCUUCUAGAUUCGGCAUCGACUCUAGGGUAUCUUCGAUGUGUAGGUCGUGAUCACCUAAAGAAGACUGCAAAAUAAUAUUAACAACAAGAAAUAAGAGGAGUAAAGGAGAGAAAAUACAAUAAAUAAAAAAAUAAAAAAGGGAGACGAAAAGAAACCAUGGGGGAAGGGACAUCGAAGAAUUGUGCAGCAUCAGGGACCCGAAUAGGAGACUCUUCAUCAUCGAUCGACUGUUUGUUGGGCUUCUUGGGUCUCUUCCAAUGGUGAUCAUCAUUGUUGCUUUGACUGUCCUCAAUACGUUUAGAAGGAUGCUUGGUAGCUAUCAAUAAGCGGUUGUCCUUACCCACAUUGUCAAUACCACCUUUAAUAAGAUGUUUAAAUCGUGUAGAAAGAGACAAAUUAUCCACCAAGCGUUUUGUCCCUCCCUCAAUUUUCUCCACAAGUCGUUCAUCAGUUUCAUCGAGCAUAUCUUCUGAUUUCCACUACCAAAAUUAUGUUCAAUCUUUUUUGUGGUUUUGGAUUUGAUGUGAGGGGGAGUAGGACGAUCUAUCAAAUGUUGUACUCCUUCUUGGAGGUAAUCACCGUGUUUUGCAAGCCACCAGACUUUAUAAUGAGAGGUAACAUGUGUGUCUGGAUUAGGGGCAGACACAGGAAGAUAUACUUGGGAAAGUGUAUUCUCGCGAAUACAAAUCAUCCAACAAUAUCGUACGUUAAAAAAAUUGGCUUCGGGAAUUUCUUCACCUAAGUCAUAUGGCACGUCUUGAUAAAAUCCAAAUUGUCGGCUAAAGCGACAAGGACUAUAAGGCUCAAUAACUGUGGAGGAUCCACAUUGCGAGGAUAGAAAACAAGAGCGAAUGCUUAUGAAAAAUGAAGCAUUCCAACUAUUUAACUCUCCAUCAUCCGUUAAGAGUUCGUCCUUAUUCUUUGUUGGAAGACACACAUGCCAUGACACAUACUUUCCCUUGUGGAUAUGUGUUCGAGCCUCAAGAUUAGUAUAAUAUUUGGCCCCACCUUCACCAGAAAAUUCAACCAUGCAAGGACCCCUAAGACUCCUAGGGGCUUUAUAAUGAGUGUUGAAGUAAAGAGCAAGCCACCCAUGGACAUAGUGAAGAGGAAAACAGGCAUUUGAAUAACCAAGUGAUGAAGUAGAAUCAUGAACUUGGCGUAGGCCACUAUAAAUAUUAGCUAAAACAGGGACGGCAAGGCUAAAUGUGUAGCCUUCCGCCAUGAGGCUAGCAACCUUAAAAACCUCCGGACGAAGGGAAAGUUGCUUAUCAGGGAACACAAACACACAUAGCCAACAAGAGAGAAAUGCCGCUAGAUAGGUUUUGUCCCUAUGAUCAUCAGUGACGCUUAAGUCAAGGAACACUUUGAGUUCAGCUUUAGACCAGUCAGGACGUCUGAUGGGAAUUCCAUCUGGAUUAUGAGUUGAGUGAGGGCGAGAAGUCUUUUUAGGCUUUCGAGGAGGCGGUUUCGAAUACUUUACCUCAGAUCGUGUAACCCAAAAAGAGAUCCAUUCACUUACAGUGAUUUGAGAGUGAUCCAUGCGUUGAGAAACAAUGCGGUAAUAGGCUGCAAAUAAAUGCUCACAACUUCUUGGACAUACAUCAGGUGAUCCUAUUAAGUCUUGGUGGCAAGGAAUGCUUUCUUCAUAAAAUCUACCUUUAAUCGGGAGUCCUCCUAGUAUCCAUAAGUCCCAUAAGGAGAUGGACAUCUCACCAGCUGAGGUGUGAAGAGUGUUUGUUGAAGGACACCAUGCCUCGCAGAAAGCCCGAUCAAUGUCACUGUUGCGAUCAUAUGUAUAUAGGGAAGCCAUCACAACAAUUAAAUAGGGAGGCUCGCUUGAGUACUGCCGUAUUUCUAGCAACAACGAGCUCUAACCACUCCCAAUAAUGAGGAAGAUAGUAAAAUUCUCCAUGUACCUUGAGCACAUUUCCCCAACGAAUUUUUGGGUCGUUUAUAAUUCGACGACCCAACGUUGAUUCUGGAUCCUCAUUUGGAGGCUUGUUGUGAAUCGAAGACUCCAGAAACCAAGAUUUUAAAGAUGAAUUGGGAUUUACAAACCGUUCCUUGGACCAUUUAGGCAAAAAGAUAAAAUUGUCCUCGGGUAUUUGGGAGUCCAUAAUAUUCUCAUAUGUCCCCUCUCUCACAGGAAGAAUGAUCCCUUCCUCUAAAGAUUGAUCUACGUCUUUCAGGAUAAUUAAACACCUUUUGGUCGAGUCAAAAUACUCAGUGAAGUGCACCAUGAUGAAAAGUAGAGUUCCUGCAAAAUAAUAAUAAUAAGAAGAAGAAUAAGAAAUAGAAAAAAAACCAAAACAAAAAAAAAAAAAAAAAAAAAAAAAAAAAAAGAAAGAAAUAAGAAAGAAAUAAGAAAAAAAAAAAGAGGGGGGGGGAAGAAAAAGCAAAUGAAGAUUGAAGCCCGACGAUGACAGAAUCGAUCUCUCCUACUAGGGCGAUAGAUCUGACGGCAAAAGCCCGAUCGUUCCUAGAAGAAGCUCAACAAAGUCAUUUCUGCAAACGAAGAUCGAAGCCCGACGAUGACAGAGUCGAUCUCUCCUACUAGGGCGAUAGAUCUGACGGCAAAAGCCCGAUCGUCCCUAGAAGAAGCUCAACAAAGUCAUUUCUGCAAACGAAGAUUGAAGCCCGACGAUGACAGAGUCGAUCUCUCCUACUAGGGCGAUAGAUCUGACGGCAAAAGCCCGAUCGUCCCUAGAAGAAGCUCAACAAAGUCAUUUCUGCAAACGAAGAUCGAAGCCCGACGAUGACAGAGUCGAUCUCUCCUACUAGGGCGAUAGAUCUGACGGCAAAAGCCCGAUCGUUCCUAGAAGAAGCUCAACAAAGUCAUUUCUGCAAACGAAGAUCGAAGCCCGACGAUGACAGAGUCGAUCUCUCCUACUAGGGCGAUAGAUCUGACGGAAAAAGCCCGAUCGUCCCUAGAAGAAGCUCAACAAAGUCAUUUCUGCAAACGAAGAUCGAAGCCCGACGAUGACAGAGUCGAUCUCUCCUACUAGGGCGAUAGAUCUGACGGCAAAAGCCCGAUCGUCCCUAGAAGAAGCUCAACAAAGUCAUUUCUGCAAACGUUUUGUUGGAUAUUUAUAUAAAGAAAAGAUAAUCCAAUUAUCUUAUUUUAUUUUAAAUUAUUAUUAUUUUUUUGUUGGAUAAAUCUCAAGUUUAACUUUUAUUGAGAUAUUUAAAAUAUUUAAAAAUCUCAACAUUUAAAAAUAUAUAUAUAUAGAUAAAUAUUCUCAAUUUCAAAAUUCAAGUUAAAUUAACUUGCAUAUAUGACCUCCUUUUUAUCAUGAAUUUAAAUCGGAGCCAUAAAUCCAACUUUACCUAAGAUUGAGGACCUGAUUUUUUAUCUCAAAUUAAAAUUGGUCAUUCCAAAUUCUUAUGUAUCCCCAAGAUGAAUUAAGGUAGGGUAGAAACUUUAUCCUUAUUUCAAAAUUAAAAUUUUGGUUAUAUUCCAAAUUUUACUUAAAAAAAAUCAUCAUAUUAAAUUUUUUUUAUCCUCAAAUAAAAUUAAGUUAGGAAUAAAACUUUGAAUUUUUGUAAGGUUUGGCCAUAUUCCAACCCUUUUUAAAUUUAAAUCAAACUCACGUACUAAAUUCAUAGUUUGAUUAAUUUGAUAUAUUGAAUUGAGUAAAAAAAAAAAAAGAAGCUCGUACUUUGACUUCAAAUUUAUCUUUUCCGAGAUUCAUUCACCUAUAUACGUGCAUAAAUCUCGAAAAGGGGGCAUUUGUUGAAUAAGAAAUUUUGAGAUCAAUCACAAGUUGCCACAUCAUUUAUUAAGUUAAUGAUGAAAAGUACAAAUAAUUAAAUUUGGGACUAAUUAAAAUUGACAUAUGCUCCAAAUUAAAGAGUUAAAAAUAAAUAAAAUGGUCAUUCUAAUAUGCCACAUGUUUUCAUAUUAAUAGUUGGAUUAAGUUAAUCAUUUUAGUUCAAUUAAAUAUUAUUUACUUGGACUAAGUUCAAUUAAGCCCAAAAAAUAAGCUUAAUUGAGCCCAAAGACUAAAUAUAACCUAAGUCCAUAUGGUUGAGCCCAUGGGUCUGGUCCAUUGGACCAACUAGGUUCAAACUCAUAAAGCCCACCAGUGAACUCUAUAAAUAGAGGAAUUCUCCUCAUUUGUAGGGGUUGGAAAAUUUUGACUCUAGAAGAUCCAUAGAGAAUUCUUCAAAGAGCUAGAAGACUCCCUAACUCCUGAAGUCGACCAUCCUCGAAGAUUGAAGCUUCUUUAAAGAUACAAGCUUUCUUCCAAGGCUUCAACUUCAAGAACAUCACGUGCUUCGCUUCCUCCAAAUCAAGCUGAAGCAUCCAGUUGAGAGAGAAUCAGAGGAUCAAAUUCUAGAGAUUGAACCGCAUCGCAUCAAAUCAACAAAAAUACAACAUCAACUCCAAGUUCAAGUCCACGAAUUAAAUUUCUCCGGAAAUCUCGUGCGAACAAUUACCAUAAGAAGAAAACUACAUCUUCAUUUUCCAUUUUUAUGUUUGUGGUUUUACUCUCAUACUCUUGAGGUAAACAGAAAAUAUGACAUUUAAUGGGACUCCAAUUUUAUUUCAAUGUAGAGUGGAUACCAUAUUUCUAAAACUCUCCUUUUUAAGUCGAGUGUACCACAAAAUACUUCUUUAUAUUUUGGUAACUCCAUUGUUUUCUAUUUUAUUUGUCUUAUGUAAUUUGAUUUUAAUUAAUUCUUUUUAAUUUUCUUUUAAAUAAUUAAGUAUGAAAACUGACAAUGGAAAAAGAAGUUUUAAAAAAUAUAUUUUUGUUCUUUUUUAAAAAUACAAAAUCACUUACUAAACAUAUAUUACUUUUGUUUUAAUAAGCAAAAACUCAACAAAAGAAAUUUUUUUUUUAAAUAGUUACCAAAUGGAACUUUUGUUUUUUGGUUUUUGAAAACAUUAGUAAAACGUAGAUAGCAAUAGAAAUGAGUUUGGAGAUGAAAAUUAUUAUUAUAGAGGCUUUAUUUCAAAAUACAUACGUUUUUUAAUAACUAUUUGUUUUUCGUUUUAUUACUUAAAAUUUAAAUUGAGUUUAUAAACACUUAUCCCACCUCUAAAAUAUUUCUUGCUUCAAUGUUUAUUUUUUGCUGAUGUGACCAAAAACAAUGUCAAAAUUUAAAAAUAAUAAAAUAAAAUAGUUUUAAAUUUUUUCUACAAAUUUAACUUUUGUACUUAAAAAAGAUUAAAAAAAAAAAAAACAUUGUAAAAUCUUUAUAGCAAAUAUUUCGUUAUUUUUAAUUAAGCGGGGAUAGCUCAGUUGGGAGAGCGUCAGACUGAAGAUCUGAAGGUCACGUGUUCGAUCCACGUUCACCGCAUAGUUUUUAAAUAUAUAUAAUUUUCAAAUUUUUCGGCUACUUGCUACAUGAGAAGUUAGACAAUAAAAGUUAUUGUCUGUAUUUCUUUUAAUGAUUUGUGUACAAGGAAUCGAAUGUACUCUCGUGAAUUGUCUAUGAAUGAAGUUCUCUUUUUGUUUCAUUAAAGUAUGAAUUAUGUGUUUAACUCUGUGUUGUAAGAAGUUGUUCUACGUACUACGCGUUCAACAUAUCAUCUCAUAGGAGGUAUAUAUUCAUGUUGAAUUAGUAUUUGAUUAUUUUUUAGUAGCGAAACUUAUGUGCAUUCUAAGCACGAAUGAUUGUUUGGAUGCAUCGUUAGGUUGUGCAUAACCAAAUUAGUUUUGUUUUUUAAAUUAAUGUCAGUAUAAGUAAAAAUGUUAGUAGCCAACAUGAGUGCAACUCAUCUGACACCUUUAUGUACUAAGUAAGCUAAGUUAGAUGGUGGGAAAAAUAGCUUCCCUUUUUAGUAAGAGUUGCAUAAUUUUUGUUUUCUAAUUUGUUAGCAAUUUUUCAAAAGACGUUUGGUUGCUACGACUCUUAUGAAAAUAACAACUUUGUCUUUGAACUUUAGUCGGUAGUGAUUUUAGUCUAUGUAUUUUAUAUUUUGUAACAAUUUAUGUUUCAAAAUUUAGUAAGUAACAAUUAGUUCCUACACUUUGAAAUUUUUAAUAUAUAUAUAUAUUAACAACAAGAUAAGGAUUGGGAUCAAGAAAAACAUCCAAUCAUCGCGACUAGGUUGAAACAAUUGAGCACCUGCCAUACCCAAACCCACAUAAAGGAAAUUCAUUGCCACAAAAAAGAAUUCGUACUAAGAAGGAGAGGCUAGAGGAAAGUCUUCCAAGGAUAAGCAACGAUCUUGAGAUAAACUAGCUAUUACAAAUAAAAGAAAAUAGGUCUCCAACGAGUAGCAAAACAUAAAAGUCAUCAUGCAAAGUCAAACUACUCUUAAGCAAAUGGAAAGAAAUAUUACAAGUAGACCAAUCAAACCAAAGAGUACUUAAAAAACUAGCAUCCUCGUAUAUAAAAUUUAAAUGUAAGUUUUUUAUCAUUUAACGAAUUCAUCUUUAUCGUUUAUUAAAAAGAUUAUUCUCGAUCAAUUUAUAAAAAAAUCAUGUAUUAGAAAGUUUAUUAUAUUUUAAUAAUAUUAAAUUUUAAAACAAAAUUGGUACUGAUAUAAAUAUAUAUCAUAUUCAUGGUUAUUUUCAUAAAAUUGUUGCUAUUUGGCACUCCAUGAAAGUUGAAGGAAAAGUUUUGUUUGAACUGUUUUUUCUUUUUCAUUGGCACUCAAAAUGACAGUUGAGAAGUAAAAAUGAAAAUUUAGACUCACGAUAUAACAUAAUAAACAUUUUAAUUUGUUUAAAAUUAUAAAAUAUAAAUGUUUAAAAUUAUAAAAUAUUUAGAGUUGUUUUCAAAUAUAAAAAGACUCUUUAAAAUAUUUAUAAAUAUAAUAAAGUUGUACUUUCCAUCACGAAAAGAUUCAAAAUAAACAUAAAUUCAACAUCUAUUUAUGUUGUAUUAAUAGAAUGUUGUUUUGUAAAUACCUAGUCAGUUCAAAUUUUUUUAAAAAAAUUGAGUUGUAUUAAUAGAAUGUUGUUUUGGUUUUAAUUUGGCGUACAAAUUUCUUUUAAUUUUUUCAUUAAUUAUAUUCUAUUAUUAUAUAUAAACAAAUCUCCAAGUGGUAAGGAUUUUAAUUCAUACAAAAUCUUUAUUCUUUUCAAAAGAUUUUAGAAGAUUUCGUUCUUUUAGAAGUUCUGAAAGAUUUUGUUUUCCUUGAAAGUUAGGAUUUCAGAAGAUUUUAAUCCAUAUACGUGGAAGUCAAGAGUCCCAGUUGAUACUUUUUAACAUAUCAUUUUGCAUUGACGUGUUUGUUGUGUGUUGUUGAACACCUUGUUAUUAAUAUUGCCAUUCGCACGUUGAAGGUUAUUUUGAGUAGUUUCUCUCAAAGUAAGGGUGAGGUUAAAAUAUGGAUUGGGUUUGAGUUCAAAAAAUUGAUUUUUUUGGAUUGGAUUGGGUCUCAGGUCUCGGAUUGAAAAAUUCGGUUCAACCCAACCCAACACAACCCAAAUUAAUAUAAUAUAUAUAUUAUUUAAUAAAAAACAAAUUAGGUAUAUAAACUUUGAAUUUAUUAUUGUAUAAAAUUUUGAAUUAUGUAUGUUUGAAAUUUAAACGUAACAAUUUUGAACUUUUUAUAACCAUUAGAAACUAUAAACGAACAAAAACAAAAAGUAUACAAUCCUAAACCCAAUCCAACUCAACCCAUAUUUUACUGGUUGGGUUGGGUUAGAAACUAAAUUCGAAUUAUUCGGGUUGCCAACUCGAAUAACUCGAAAAUAUGGAUUGGGUUUGAGAAUGUCUCCCAACCCAAUCCAAUUUCACCCGUACUCUCAAGGGGAGCUUGGACAUUGAGAUGUAAAGGUGAAGCGUGAAUAUCAAAUGGGAGCUUAGAUCAAAUCCCUUGUUCACACAUAAGUGAUUUAGGAAGAGCCUUAAACAUUUAUCUUGUGAAAGUAGUGUAAUACACGAUAUUUAAUUCUUCAUAAGUUAUGUACUAGUUAUAAACCUCUAGAAUCUGAGUAUUUUUCAAUUUAAGUUAAGACUCCCUCAAACGUAGGUAUGAUUGCACCAAAUUGGAUUACCAACUUGAUUGUGUGAUGUUUUAUUCCUGCCGUUUAUAUGUUAUUUAAUUUGAAAAUAGCGCGCUUUGGUGCAAACAUAACUCUCUGAGUUAAUACUGUGUUUUUCAAAUGUACUUUGGUGCAUAGACGUCAUCUCAAUAAAAUUUAAAUUUUCUUUUAUUAGAGAACAAACAAGCUAUUAAUAGUUAAAUUUAUAAACAGAGAACUUCAAAAUUAAAGUAAGGGAGUUCUAUUACAAUUAAAAUCCAUUUACUAAUAUAUCUAUAUUGAUGACUGUUUAUACAUAGCAACACAGCUUGUUAAAAGUAAAAUAUAAGAUCUGAAGUUCAAAGUAUAGAAAAGUGGAAAAAGCAAGAAACCAACAGAUGCACCACAAAUAUAUAAGGAAAAUUGAAAAAAUGUCAACCUAUAGAAUGUAUCAAAAGAAGAAGGAGAAAAAGAGAUAUAUUUAACAUAUAUACUUCUGUGGUUGCAAAAAGAAAAACAUGUUGUUACCAAAUAAAAGAGAUGAAAGAUAUCAAAAUGAAACCAAGAAAACCAAAUAUUAAGAGAGAGAGAUAUAAUUGGUAAACCCAAAUGUAAAAUUAGUCAUGGGUCCAAGUAAUUAAUUCCCAUUAAUUUCAUUUCAGUAACUUAACAAACAAUAUUCAAUAUAUAUCUCCAAAAUUUUCAUUCCCAUGCAAAAGAGUGAAACAAGAUAAUGCAACUUUUACCACAUAAUUAAAAGCAAAUGGGGAAAGUAUAUGUAAUCAAUUUAUAUUCUAUUACCAUAUACGAUUCUAUUAAAACUAGUAAAAGUUGUUCUGCACCAUUAUCACCUUCAUUUUCUUAAAAUAAUGCUCAUUUUUGCUUACAAUCCAACCAAGCUACAAUUUUUGUACUAACAAAAUUUAAUAAGUUUUCUUCUACAGAAAAAAAACAUCAUAUUAUUAAUCUUAUAGUUCGUCAUGUAUUGUCCUCAAUGUCAACCUAGUUGAGAAGACUUGGUGCCCGAUCAAGUAUCUUUUCUAAGAACGUUUGACUCUUUUUCCUUUAGGACUAUUGUGAUCCAAAAAAAACGAAAAGAAAAGAAAAAACUAAUAAUUUUUUUUUUUGGUCUUUUUCAACUUUAAACUUGCUAAUUCUAUGUUUGAAGAACAAAGUUAAAAAAUGAAGGUACUUAAGGAGGAUAGCCUGUGAACUAUUACUAUAGCUAGGUUACAACACUCAAUAUCAUUAAUUAGCUACACUUAUACCUUAAGCAUAAUUAGUCUUGCAACAACAAUCCAAGAAUUGUAUUUUUCAAUGACCAAAUUAAACAAAGAUAUAUGACAAAAUUAUUGCCUAGUUAGUCUAUAUCCUCUCCUUUAUAAGAACCUCCACAUUUCAUAAUUAUUCUCACACAUCCUAAACAAAGCAUUCUCUCAAUCUCUAAAUUUCCUCAUUUUUCUACAAACAAUGGAGAACAAGGGUAUGAGCACCUCCAUAAUGAAGAUAUCACUUACAUUAUUCCUAGUAAGCAUGGCCAUUUUGGCACCAUCAGCCACGGCUCGGAUGGAGGCAGCAGCACCUAGUCCAUUAGCACUAGAAGAUCUAUCUUUCUCUAACUGCACACCAUUUAUUUUAGAGGCAACAAUGUGUGUAGUAGGCGUGAUAAAAUUCCCGGUUGCUCCUCAUCCUUCGUGUUGCAAAGCUAUUUCUGAUCUCGACGAUUGUUCUCCGGAAACUUACGAACAUAUUCCUGGCAUGGACAUUAUUAAAAAAAUUUGUAGUCUGUGAAGCACUUUCUAUCUUGACAAUCAAAAGAUUCUUCAAGCAAAUUGAACCAUUUUGAAUAAGAAAGUUAUGUUUAUGUGAUUGUGAGUUUUCUUUUUUCCUACAGUACUAUUACAGUACCAUCUAUAAAACUUAAUAAAACAUACAUCUUUAACAAGAUUUAGAGUGUACUUGAAAAUCUCUGCAUAAUCAACAACACUAAAAUCUUCAUAGCCAAUUUAGUUUUAGUACUACAUACACAAAAGAUUUAAGAAACAGAAUUAUAGUCUAUGCAUAACAAUCUAAACUUUCUUACAAGUUUCCAGAUUUCCAGAUUUUCUGUUUUCUAGCAAUAGAGAAAAAAAAGAGUCAAACCAUUUGUUUUCAGGAUUUGUAGAGCAUCAAACUGAUAGAACUAAGUCAUGCACAGCGGAAAAAGAAUCGAAUUUCUACCCUAAUUGCCACAAUUAACAUGUAACCAUAAACUAAUCAAAUUAGGGUUUUAAGAAGUAUUACCUUUGAAGCUUUCAAAAGGUUUGAUGUCUUCUUACCAAUUCUACCCGAGACCACCACUAGUACUCAACUGCUAUCCUCUAGACAAAGAACCGGGUUGUGGGACCCAAUUUUGAUGUAGAAAGUAAUGGAGAUAAAAUGAGAUUGGAAGCUUUCUUUUUUCUUUUGUUGAGAUGAUGAAAAUGAUAAAAGAGGCAAAAGUCCUUCAACAUUUGAAAACAUCUCUAUUUAUAGCCUAAUUACAUGCAAAAAUGCAUGCAAUUCAAUUGCCAAAUCUCAACACCUAAUAUUCCACUAACAAUUAGUGGAACUUAGUGGGCUAGGUGUCUAUAUCUCAUAUAGCCACAUAUCCCACUAAGAGUUAGUGGGAUUAUCCAACAAAAUGUUGGAUUUUCCCACUAACUUAGUCCAAGGGUAAAAUGGUCAUUAGAUUUUUCUAGUCAAAAGUCAAACUUUGACUUUUCUAAGUCAAAAGUCAAUAUUUUGACUUUUUACCAUUUUGUCCGUCUUGACUAAUUCCAACCUCCCGAGCAUGAAUCCGCAUUCAUUUUUCCAAAAUUCAAAUCACAUUUGAAUAUAAGGCCGGUCAAAGUUUGACUUUUCAAAGUCAAAAGUCAACAUUUUGACUUUUUACUAUUUUUGACCAAUUCCGAGCUUCUUAGUAUGAAUCCGCAUUCAUACUUAUAGUAUGUAAAACAUAAAGCUCUAUUUCUAAUUAGAAGACCGACGAUUAUAUCACUGUAUAUGUCGGUUUUCCUUUCUUCUCCCUAUUCGAACAAUUCGACUUAUUUCAUCACACUGUUCUAAGUUUAAUCCAUAUGAGCUAGCAGAGGAACCUAAUGGACCUAUAGAUCAUGGGCUCCAACGAUUCAAGAUUAACUAGCUAAACUCUUUUAAACCGAGUUAAUCAACAUUCGUUAACUAACGGGUCAUUCCACUAAAGUCCCGUAGUUGCACUCCCCUCACUAUAGAUAUAUUUGUGUCCAUUUGAUAAAACCAUAAUCAGUAAGUUAAUCCUUCACAGGUUGCUCGUAACCUUGGCUGGGUUAAAAUACCGUUUUACCCCCAAGAUUACAUCUUGCUCCUUAAGUCCCACUAAUCCACUAUUGAACAAUUGGUUUAAGGUUCAACCUAUAAACUUAAUCCCUCUCAGGCCAAUGAGAGGGUGGGGCCCCUUGUUCAAGACUUGGAUUCAGUGCUUAAGAGAGCAACCUAUCUACUAACCCUAAAGCGGGUAGGAGUGAAUUCCAUCUUGUACCCUAUGUUCCCAGCUAUCCACCCGAUCUUACCCCUGAAAUGGGAGGCUUAUUGGGCCAACGCUGAUGAGCUGCCCUCACCUAUGCAGAUCUAAGGAUAAUCUCGUAUGAACAGGAGUUCAUAGUUAACUCAGGAUUAAGACUAAGUUACCUAGGUCAUCAAUAAUUGAGAUAGUCAGUUUUAAACAGUAAACGGUGUUAUAACGUAAAAAUGACUAUUUCAUGGUUCAGUCUUAUGUAAACAUUUUACAUAGGAUGCCCCCACUUUCAUGUCUCUACAUGAACGAUUAGGAUCACCUCGUUUGUACUACAAAGUGGGCCGCAUCCAUAGUUUCUCUAAAUAAGGCGCCCAACCUUUAUUUCAUAUACUAUAGACUAUUUAGGCUAUAUACUCGAACUUGAUCCACGUUUAUGUUUACACAUAAAGUUCAAGUUUAUUAAAAAAAUAGCCUUGGAACUUGAUUUAUUGGAUUUAAGAUUAUAAUAUUUAAUUUCUCAAUAACAACUUUAUUGAACAGAAUAUGAUUUACAAACUACGAGUUUUAGGACAAAAAUUCCAACACAAACAACAAAAGACAUUAAACAUAAUCAAAUAACUCCCAACUAGGUUAGUAAAUUAGCUAUAGAAAAGCAACAUAGAUUCUUAUCAUCUCAAAAAUCUUCAUAAAACAUACAUCUUCAACAACAGAUCUACAAAUACUAUAUCAAAACCACACAAAAUACAACAACAGUAAACAAAGUCUUCAGAUCUAAAAUUUUACCAAGUCUUUCAAAAGUCAACACUUCCAUAAAGCAAGCGAAUCACAUAAAGAAUCACAAAUGAAGAUCAAAACCGAAUAAACCUGAUUAUCUUCUCUCAUGUGGACACGUGUGUAAGUUUCCACAAGAAUAUUUCCCUUCCACACAAACAAAGUAAAUCAUGUUUUACUCAAAUCAUCAGUUACAUAGUUAUGAGCGUAUAGAAAGGAUAAACCAACUUCGUCUUGAGGUAAGAUAAAUGUGUGAAUAACAUACCUGGCCUAGGAGGAUAUCAUACAUGAUGAAAAAAGAAGUUAACAAAGGCAAUUUAGAGAAAGGAGGAAAACAUACAUGUUGACAAGAAAAUUUAGGUUUAAGAUAGUUAUGAGGUAUAGAAAAGAUAAACCAUCGCCGUCUUUGGUAUAAUUAGUUUUAUGUUGCACCAUGAAAAAGAAGUUAACAAACGCAAUAUUAGAGAGAUAUAUCUAAUAUAAGUAAGCAUAAAAGCAACAUAAUUUAUAUAAUUCAACACCUUGAUAAAGAAGGAAACAUCAAACCUAUCUCUAUACAAAUGAAAACCAAUAUAUAUAUACUUAGAACCGAAGAAAUAUAAAAACAAUUAGAGAGAUCUCACACUUACUUGAAAAAAUUUCGGAAACUCACAUUUUCAUGUUAACAUGGUUCUCAAUCUAGCUCAAAGUGUUUGUAUGAGUUUGAUAUCAAACCAAGGCAACAAAUAUAACCGUUCUAGAUGCAAGAACUUUAAGUACAACACAUAAUAUUUUUUAAAAAGAGCUAAAGGUAAUUCACAUCAUAAAGUAACCUUGUUUCUUUGUUUCUCAACCUAGCUCAAAGUGUUUGUAUAAUUUGAUAUCAAACCAAGGCAACAAAUAUAAAGUUCUAAAUGCAAGAACUUUAAAUACAACACAUAAUAUUUUAAAAAAUAGCUAGUAGAUUAGUUUCAGUUGGGAACAAAAGGUGGAUUUUAGUUUAGACUUACGUGAGAAUUAGUGUUGAAAAAGAUUGUUGUACUACCUUAUUAGUAGAUGAGUAACACCUUGGAAAUGCAUCAAAAAUACUACAAAAUUAUUUAAAUUAGUAGUUAAGAUGCAGAAAAUAUUAUGAAAUGUUGGAAAUAUUGUGACUUUUAAAGAACUAGACAUUUUUAAACAAAAGGAGAGCUCAUAUAUAUUUUCUUUAUAAUUUAGCCAUAAGGUAUAGAAUGAAAAGUAUUUUAUAACUAGCUGAGAUGAGACCAAAUUCAUUUUGCUUUGGUUCAUAUUAAUCACAUCAUAGCUACCAUUUACAACAUUCUAUCUUCACAAACUCAAUUCUCCCUCUUAAACCAUUGAAACACUUUACCCAAUUGAAUUCUAAGUAAAUCUCACUCUCUAUCGAACACUUUAACUUUGCUAAAUUGAAUUCCACUUUCAUUAUAACCAAACACUUUACAAGCAACAAUAAAGACUACAACAAGGAAAGAAAGCGAAGAAAAAAGGAAAAAAAAACUUGAACAAACCUAGCCGACGGAAAAGAGGGCUUUUCCGUGGUCAUAGGUCGUCGGUCGAAUUAGUCGUGGGUUGUCGUUGAUGUGUGCUCGACCGGUGGAGGGGGAAAAGAUUGGGAUUGGAGUUUUUGGAAAGGGUUUUCGUGAAGAUGGUAAAGAGAAGGGAUAAAUAAAAAGGAAGAUGUAGUUAAUAAAUUCUUUAAUGAAAAGUUGAAGGAAAUUGGAAAAUUUGAAAAACAUUUAAGUUUGUUGCUAAAAUUAUUUAAUUUUUAGUGACAUUAUUGUUGUGUGUUACUAAUUCUUUUAGUGACGUGGAUUAAAAAUGUGUCGUUAAUAAUAAUCUUUUGUGACAAAUUUUUUUGCGUCACUGUAUACGAAUUUUAACCGCCAAAAAUUACUUGCACCACUAAAACUUUGUCACUGAAAAAUAAAUUUCUUGUAGUGAAACACCGACAUUGUUUUUUUAAAUAAGUUACUAUGGACCGUUUGGUGCACCUAAACAUCUUCACUAGGUGGACACCUCCAACUCUUGUCAAUUAUUAAGUAGUUUAUAAUGAUUAACAUCAUAAUUGUCAUGUGAUUACCUUAAAUUUUUUGUCAAGUGGUAAAUAUUUUUUACUACAUUAUGAUCAUUAUCAUUUAUGUAGCUUACAAUUUUUUUUCGCCAAUUACUAAUAGUUUCUAAUUACCAUCCAUUCUUGUAAUCUACAUAACACAUUGUCGAUCAUCCCAUUGCCACUAUGAAAAAUGACCAUAGUAACCUUAAUCACGGCAAUAGAAUACUGAGAUAGCUAUUUGACUACUGUUUGAUUGUCUUUUGGAUACUUUCUAAUUGACAUUUUAUUACUCUUUUUUAUCAUUGUAAUUUUUUAUAUUGUUUGAUUACCUUCUAAUGGUCACUUCCAUAGUUUUUUUUACACAUUUGAUUGCUUUUUUGUUCGUAAUAAUUUUUUGUCAUAGUAAUAAAAUAUUAAUUAGAUACCAAUCACACAAUAAACAUAAAUUACUAAAUAUCUAAUAAAAUCUCACAUAAAAAAUAUUAUUCUUUUACUUUGGUAGUAUAUUUACAUUCUAAAUUUCAUGUUUUUAUUUUACUGAUUUUUGUAACAACUAGCUAACUUAAAAGUAUUGAAAUUAAUGAAAGUAUGUUUUACAAUUUAAUCACAAAUAUUAUAGAUAUCGUAAACUUUGCUAUUCCAAUUAAAAGUAAAAGCAAAAAAAAAAGAAAAAUGGGAAGAAGAGAAUUUUUAAUAAUGGAUUGAACAAAGAAAGAUUGUUCCAAACAUAAAUCACUCCCCAUUCUAAACUUAUAAAUAGAAAAUAAAACAACGAUCUAUCACUAACUAACAACAUUAUUCUUAGUCAUCAAAUCGCCAAUAAACCCUAAGAGAAACUUUUACUACUCUAAGCACAUAAAACAUCUCACAAUGCACAAAUGUUCUUAACCACAUCCAUGUCCGCAGAAGGAAUCGUUUGGAAAAUUACAGGAGCACAGUCAUUGAGCUUAAAAAUGGCUUUGCAACAAAAGGGAUGAGGAGCAAUUGGAAACUUGAAUACAUCGACCAAACACAGUGUCGCAUCCAAAAUAAACGGAGUACAACUGAAGAAGGAGAGAUCUUGCGAGAUUGAUGGAUCAAGUGUUGUAGACGACACCGUCGUGCGGCCGGCCGUCGCGGAUGCUGCUAAAAUGGCUAUGGAGACAAUGAAUACUAAGGCUAACUUCAUUGGGGAUGCUUUCAGUGACUUCACUGCCAUUGUUUAGUUUAGAUGAGUUGUUGUUGAGGUCAAGAGAAGGGGAAAAGGCUCUACUUUGUUUGGGUGAGUAAGUUUGUGAUUAGUGAAGGUUCUUAUAUUAAGGUAGAUAUGGACUUCCUAUAUAUGGCAAUAGACAAAAUUAUGGGAAUUGUUUUUUCUCUUCAUAUGUUAAUAAUUAUAUAUAUAAUUUUAAUUCUAAUGUGUAAUGAUUAUUGUAUGCAAUAAAAGGAAAGUAACAUUUAUUUUUUUAUUUAGUACAAGAAAUGUAACUGUUAAAUUAUAUUUAUGGAUUAUUGUAUGCAAUAAUAUGAUGUUUUAUAUAACUCGAAAAUAUAUUAUGGGACUCAUUCAUUUAUUUUAGGGCCAAACAAUAUUCCUUUGCUAUCUAAUUUUAAGCUAAGGUUGGUUUAGGUUUAAAAACUUACUCUCAUAAUUAUCUUUGAUUUUGAUGACUUUUAAUUUCUACUAUGCUCCUCGGUAUUCAAUGUAUUGCACUGAUUUUGCUCCUUGAUUUUGGAGUUUUGAUUUCAUUAUAUCUAUUUACAUUUUUCUAUUUAUUAUAUUUCAAUAAAUAUUAGGGAUCGAUUUUAGCCUAUUCAAGAUAAGAAGAGAUUCACAGUUGGUGAUGGUUUGAGAAAAUCCAAACUAACAACAUUAGUUUUUUUAAAAAAAAAAUCGAAAGCUUAAACGGACCUAAAUUAUUGAUCCAUCAACAAGGAGUAAUCUGUUUAUAUUUUUUUCAUAGUUGAGGUCGGUUUGAAGAUGUACUAAACUGACCAAGUUGGUUGAUAGUAAUUUUGUCAAAAAAUCGACUCUAAAUGACUGAUUCUCACGACUUGUUUUCACUGACUUUCAUCAACUAUUAAAAUUAUUUAAAAAAUUUACAUCCUAAUAUAUUAGGUUAAUGUUGAAUACUAGAGGGAAAAAAGUGUAAAAUAUGGAGGAACCAAAUCAAAAUUAAACUCAAAGGUUGAUGGUAAAAAUGUGAUAAUAUUUAAUUUGAAACCCUAGUGAUCAAAUGAAAAUUAAAAUAGAACUUCGUUAGGUGCGAUUAUGUCCCAACUUCAAAUGGUUGGAGUAAUUAACUAUAUUAUAAUCAACUUCACGUUUGAUUCUUAUUAUAUAAAUUAUAAUAAUAGUCAAUGUUUUUCACUAUUAUAACAUAUAAUUAACUAACUAUAAAUUAAUUAAUAUAAUGUUAUUAUUUCAAAUCUGUGUUGAUUACAAUAUUUACUGUAAUGUUUAUUAUUUUGUAUUCAUUAUCUCUUUUUGUGUGUUCACGUUUACUACCUUUUAUAUGUAUUCUAAAUAUAACAACUAUAUCUCAAACUAAAAUAAUUUCUACUUCCACAACAUAUUUGUUAUAAUUACUCACAAUGUUGUAAUUUACAAUAAUAACUAAUUCAACUUUUCAACACUCACUUCAAUAAAAAUAUAUUUUUGAAAUUUGAAGACUUGAAAGGAGAAUCAAAACUUAAGGUUACAACUGAAGGGAUUCAAAUUCUAUUAUAUAUAUAUAUGGACAUUUUUCUCUAAAUCGACUCUAAAUGACUGAUUCUCACGACUUGUUUUCACUGAUUUUCACCUACUAUUAUAAUUAUUUAAAAAAUUUACAUCCUAAUAUAUUACGUUAAUGUUGAACACUAGAGGGAAAAAAAGUGUAAAAUAUGGAGGAACCAAACCAAAAUUACACUCAAAGGUGAUGGUAAAAAUUUGAUAAUAUUUUAAUUUAUUUUGUUAUUUUUAAAGAUGCCCUUAUGUAUUUAUUUAGUUAAUAUUAAAUUAUCAAUAAUUAGUUCAUUAAAAUAAAGACAAUUUUUUAAUAUUGUAAUUUAUUGAUAUUCUAAUUUCAAAUAUUAAGUAUCCAAGAAAAUAACAUAUAAUUAUAUAAACACAUGGUUACGUUUUUUCUCUAAUGAACCUAAUACGUCUGAAUCCAAAAUACAUAUAAUUUUCUAAUAUGAAGUUAGAAUGUUAGAUGCACCGCCAUUUUGCCACGAACCCUUUGUUGUAAUUGACAUAAAAACACAUGGUAGAUCAUAGUGCAAUUACUACUCAAAGAAUUUUAGUCAGAUUUAUAUGUAAAACUAACUGAGGUGUUCAUGUUGGGACAAAUUAACCAAAUAUAUUAAUAAAAAUAAUAAGUAAUAAGACUACAAAAACUUACAACAAUACACUAUGAUCGCCUAUACUUAUUCCACGUUGAACCCAAAUUUUAGUAACUCCAAAGUUGAAAGUUAAUAUAAAAUGAAUUACAGUUUUCAAUGGCUACCAAACGUUUCCAAACUUUUUAUAUGUGACCAUCUAUAUAUAUCCAACCUCUACUCCCUAGUUUUCUCCCACAAACCAAAUAGAGCUAUUCCUUUUGAGUGUAAGAAUCUCAUUCAAUCCUUCCAUUGACUUUCGUACUCAAUUUUUCUAAGAGUAAGGGCAGCGUCAUUCACGAAGUUGCUACUUGCAUUUCUUUUCUGCAUGUUCAUUUUGACAUGCAUAGUUACCAUUAAACUGUCUACAAAUAUUGAAUAUUAAUUGGGGUUUAUACAUAUUAUAUAAAGACAAUAACGUUGAGGGCGGCCCGAGCCCCCAUGGGCCUAUACUAAAUUCGUCGGUGCCUGCAAAUCAUUUAUUCCUAAGGCCACAUAAUGUGUGAUUGAAGUCGCUCCUCAUCCUUCUUGUUGCCAAGCGAUUUAUGAACUCCGUGAUUGUUCAUAUCCCAGUUUCUCAAAGACAUUUCUUCCAUUGAUAUGGUUUUGGUUGAGAGUGUUUGUGCUUUGUGGGGUGUUUCAAUUUCUUAGACUAAAAUUGUACUUUUGAGUUAAUUUGCUGAUCAAAAUGAAUAAGAAAGUUAUCCAUUUGAUGAUGAAUAGUUUUUUCCUGUUUUUUUCCCGAACUUAGGCAGAAAUAAAGAGACAGGGAGUUCGAAAAAUAAAUACAGUUCAAUUCAUCAUGAAUUAAAUGGAUAGAACUAUUUAAUUAAGGUUCAAAAUUACUAAUUUAUAUGAACUAAAUGGGUAGAAGUCUAUUUCCGAUUAAGAUUUAAUAAGAACCCUAAAUAGUUUAUAAGGAGACUCAUGGUUAUGGUAUCCAAUUUAUCAAAACUCAUUCUUAUAUACAUCAAGAGAAAAAUACCAAUAAAAGCUCUUAGAAUUUUGGUUGGGAAAAAUAAUAGUCAGCCAAUAACCCAUCAUCGAGAAUUUGGUAUGGAAACAUUUUGACAUGAAUGAAUUUGGUAUGGAAACAUUUUGACAUGAAUGAUUUUUGGACUUAAUCUAUUAUAUAGAUUUAGAGUAUUUAUAUUUCAUGUUUGGUAUAGUGUAAAACAAAAAGGAAAAUAAAAUCACAUAAAACAACUACAACGAAGUUGUCAAAGAAUAAGGGAGAAUGAUGAACAAAAUCUGACUUGAACCUCGAAGAUGGGAAAAUAUAUUAACUAUGAUCGGACUUGAAGAAUAACAGAUCGAACAAACAAAAGUGGACAGAGUUGAAUCACGAGGCUGACGAAUAUUGGAUCUGACUCACGACCAACAAUCUGACUGCACAACCAAUAUCUAUUUUUAAGAAGUUUUGAAGGAAGUCACCAUGAAGAGGAGGGAAAGGCGGAGCGGUGAUGGAGAGCAUGGUAUUACGGGAGAGGCAGAACGACGGUGAGGGAGGUUAUUGACAUGGAGCGGCCAUGGCUUUGUGAGCGAGAAGCGUAAAAUUAGGGGUGACGUCACUACAAGAAAAAGUACAUAUUAUGACAGUUGUAUAUAUCUAAAAUUGAAAGUAGUAAAAAAAAACUGUCACAAAAGGUUAAAAUUCGCGUUUUUGGCGAGAAAAGACAGAAUUUUUCGGAUUCUACUUUCCGCGAUAGUUAUUUGUUGUCACGAAAGGUAUAUAAAAUAUAAUUUAUCUAUUUAUUAAAAUAAAAUUCAUUUUAAAUAAAAAUAUUAAAUCACAAUUUCCCCCAAUUCUUAAACCCUCGCGCAAACUUCACCCUCACCCUUCGCUCACGAUUUUGACAUCCAUCCUCAAUCCGACCACCACGUCCCGUAUCCGAACAUCGUCGACCAUCUCCAACAGACACAUAAUGGGAAUCAACAAAUCAAGAGCUUAGAGAUUCAAGAGAUUAAGCUUUUACAGCUUCCUUCUGUUUGUCACUUGAAAAGCUUUAGUGCUAUUGUCCAAGUAAUUUCUCUUCCAAUCCUCUCUCUUUUCUUUUCUUUUUUUCUUAAAUUUAAUUUAUAUUUGCUAAGUUGCUUGAUUAUUUAGCAGCUAUUUUGUUUUUGGUGUUUGGUUCGUUAAAAGUAAGGUUACUUUUUUUUUAAUCAUGAUUUGAAAUUCAAUUUCAAGUAUAAAAGUUCCAUUUUUGGUCAAACUUCAUUAAAGAAAGAAUAAAGUUUGAAUAACUAUUUUUUCUUCUAUAUUUUGGUUUGGUUUUUAUGAAAGAGAUUUAGGAGUUUUGGCUUAGUUUUUGAACAUGAAUAAAAAGUAGAAGAGAUUUAGGAGUCUAUAUUCAUGAGUUUAAUUUUAAAGAAACUGUAAAUAAAUUUCAACUAGUACCAAAAUAUCUGUAAUUAAUAGUGCAGCAAAUCUAGGAAGCUGAAGAUGAAACAUAGUAGAACUUAGGUAACUGACAGUGGAUGAAAUUCUUUUGCAGUGGAAAGCAAAUGGACUAACCCCACUUGCUCUUAUGAAAUCUAUACAUAGGGAGGGAAUGGGAGGGGUGUUGCUUUUUUUCUCUCUUUUUUUUUUUGGGUGUAACAGAAAAAUUGUCAUAUAACCCUUGAAGGAUAGGGUUAACCAAAUUUUUUGCUAGUGUAUAGAAGGAGAAAAAAAGGAAAACAAAAAAGGAUGGUAGUUAGUUUGGUGAAGGCUUGUGGAGGAAGAAAGUGUUUGGGUAAAGAAAGCUUUCCAAAAUUUUGUUCUCGGUUUUAAAUUCCAUAGUGUAUUUUGCUAUGACUUUAUUGGUGUUUUUUUUUUUUUUUUUUUUUUUUUUGCAUCUAGAGGAUGUAAUUCUUUGAAUUUGUGAUCAUGGAUGUUUUAAAUUUGAACAUGAUUGUGGGUUUGAAAAGAGAAAUUGAAUGUAGCAGUUAUAAUGUUGGGUUGGUAGUUUAAUAUCAAUGUUAAAUAUGUAGAAAACAUUCUGCUUGCCAUUGUUCUAAAAGGACGUUCUGUUAGUAAGAUGAAUAGAUAACUCUUGAAUGUACAAAUUUAAUAUUUAAACGGUAAUUCAUAUGUGGUAGGAGGGGAUCGAACCUCUGCAACCUUUGAAGAGGCGUGUCAUUUACCAUCAAGUUAUACUCUUUUUUAGAUUUAAGUAAGAUGCAAUAAUUGUGGAACGUUUGCUCAUUAUGCCUUUUUAAUUCAAGUUUUUUGUUUGUUAGAGAAUCGAAAAAAAGUUAAAACUUUUGAAAGUUGUAUACAAACAUUUUUAGAAGCUAUUAGGGAAGAGGAAAAAAUAUGAGUUUCGUUUACUUUUCCAUCAGCUAAAAUAUUUUAAAGUACAAAAUUAAAAAGAAAAAAUUCCUUACUGCGAUACACGUGGCUAAAAAUGAUUGGCCGACUUUGAAUUUUGUUUACGUAUUUAUAUAAAUAAUAUGCCAUUUCGUCAGGUUCUGGAGUCCUAGUUGAGGCUUAAGUUCACUAUUCGUACGUUGCUUCAUUUUCCCAAUCAAAACCAUUGAAUCUGCUUCGUUGUAUUGUAAUUCUCUCUACAAGACGAAUACCACACAGUUGUAGAUACCGUAUUUUGUCCUAUAUUUAUUUAUUAUAAAAAAAAAAAAAAGAAAUUAAAUUUGAAUUUGAAUUGAAUUUGAAUCUUAAAUUUAUGUUUUAAAAAAACAAUAAUAAUAAUAAUAAAUACAUUUAAAAAUAAAUAAUAAAAAUAAAAAUAAAAGGUUUGAUUUUCUUCCUAUUUUUUCUCAAUCAUCCCUUUUUCUUCGUCAUCACUCUCCCACUUUCUCCCACUCUAUCACUUUCUCCCACCCUCCCACUUUCUUCCUAUUUCUCUGUAGUCUGCACUCCAUCUCGUGAUCUAAAAAAAACAAUGGAGUUUGCCCUAUAAAAAGGAAAGAGGAAAAAAGAAAGGGGAGGAUUUUUUUUAUUAUUAUUGGAGGAUUUAGAAAGAGGUGAAGAGUGAAAGAAGAUCAAAAGGAAUAACCUUUGGCAUUUAAGGGCAGACCUGUUGGUAAGUUAUUUUUUUUUUCCUCUUUUUAUUCUUGUUUGAUGAUUUUUUUUUUCUUGUUUGAUAAUACUGCUUUUAAUUAUGAACUAUCGUGUUCAUCAUUUUAUCAUCAUUUGACAUGUUAAUUUUAUUAUUUGUAUUUUUUUAAUACUGAGCAUUCUACCUUCCAUUCUAUAUUAAAUUUUUUAUUUUUUAUUUUUUAUUUUUAAAUACUGAGCAUUCUGUUCUGUGUUAAUUUCUUUUUAAUUGUUGGGUAUGCACUGUGUUAAUUUUCUUUUAUUAUUGGGCAUCCAUUCUGUGUUAAUUUUCUUUUAUUAUUGGACAUUCAUUCUGUGGUGAUUUCCUUUUAUUAUUGGGCAUCCAUUCUGUGUUAAUUUCUUUUUAAUUAAUUAGCAUCAUAUAUUUGUAUUUGGAUACUCAUUCUUCAUUGACACCCAUUUUACCGUUAAUUACUUAUAUCCAUAUCCAUAUGGCAUGCCUUAAUAAUUAUGCAUAAUUAAUCAAUUAGCCUUCUGUAUUUGGUAAUACUCAUUCUUUAUUGGCACCCAUUUUACUGUUAAUUACUUAUAUCCAUAUAACAUUCCUUAAUAAUUAUGCAUAAUUAAUCAAUUAACAUCCUGUAUUUGGUAAUACUCAUUCUUCAUUGGCAUCCAUUUUACAGUCUUUGUUAAUUACUUUAUCCAUGUAUCCAUAUGGCAUACUCCGUUAAUAAUUACUGUUAUCCAUAUAUUAUCCAUGUUAAUAAUUAUGCAUGAUAUAAUUAAUUUUUGGCAACAACCAUUUUUCAUUUGGCUUAUUAAUUAAUUAGCAACUUGUAUGUGAUAUUUUCACUCACUCAUUCUAAUUAUUUGCGUGAUGUAUUAAUUAAUCAGUAUGCAUAUGUGGCUAUAAUUAUUUGAUAUUCAUUUUGGUGUGAUUAUUUAUUUGCAAUAUUAUUUAUUUGCAUAUUGGGCCAAACCUACUUUGGCAUUCAACUGUUAAUUAUUAUUUGAUAUCCAUUUGACCCUCGUUUAAUUAUGUAUUAAUCAAUUAUUUUGCAUCAUUUUGAAUUAAUUAAUUAUGUUGCAUGUGUUGUAUUAAUUAAUUAUCUUGCAUCUUACAUUAAUAUCUUUUACAUUUUGCAUAUAUUAUCAAUGUAUUUAUUUUAUCUCAGCAUAUUACACCUAAAUAUUUUUCAAAUUUCAUAAUGUUUUGUCAUUGUUAUUAUUCUUUUUUUUAUUUAAAUAUAAUAAUGUAAAUUGGAGAAAAAGUAUUGUUUUUUUAUGGAUUUUAUAAUAAAAUCCAUAAAUACAUGAAAUUUUUCCGUUUGAAAUUUAAUUAAUAUAUUAUUUUUUAAAUUAACACAUUUCAUAUUUUAAAUGAGACUGAGUAGUAUUUUCUAUGAAUUUAUUAAUUUCUAGAUAUAUGAAAUUUUUCAUUAAACACCUAUGAUAGAGAUUAAAAUAUCAAGUUUUGGUAUCUUAAUAUUCUUAAGGUGAAUAAAAAUAUUUUAAAACAAAAGUAAACUUCAUUUUUCUAAUGGCUCAUGUGCCACCCAUAAUUAUCAAUUCAUGCUUAUGUUUUACUUUCUUCGAUAUGAAUUGAUAAACAUGAGACAUUUAAACAAAACCUAAAUAAAAACUUUGUUAUGUGAACCCCUAUAUUUAAUUUAAAAGAUAAAAUUGGGUAACCAUUUUGUGGGUGUUGUAGGGUGCUAACACCUUCCCUACACACAACUGACUCCCGAACUUAAAUCUUUGAAUUUACGUAGACCAUUCUUUUUUUUUUUUGUGACCAAUCACACCUUAAUAUGAUUGGUGGCGACUCCAAAAUUAUUUAUUAAAAUAAAAUAAACGGGUCGGCCGCUCCGCGUAGCGAUCACGUCUCGACAACAGUGAUAGAUGGAUCAGAUUCAGUACUCUGAGAAGUACUUCGACGACAUUUAUGAGUACAGGUAUUAUGUUCUUACUCUUAGUUUCCAACUCCAUUGUUACUCUCUGUCUUGAAGGAUUGUUUGGAUUUGGAAGUGUUCAUUCUUAUUGUCUUCGAUGUCUAAUUGGAUUCAUUGGUGCAGGCACGUGGUUCUUCCACCCAAAGUGGCUAAGUUGCUUCCUAAGAAUCGUCUGCUAUCGGAAGUAAGCAAUUUUGUUUUCUUAGUUUCAAAUUUAUGUGUCUCGAUUUUGUUACGAAAGAAAGUAUUAUCUGAUUGAUUGGGAAGAAACUUAGUUCAGUAGUUGAAUUCUUAUUUCCGGUUUAGGUAUCACUCUUGAGAGACCCUAUGAAAUAGAUAUUAUUCCGUGGACAGUUUUUUCCCAUAUUUCUAAUCUUUUAUAUUUUCAUAUGAUCUUGAUAUUCUCUCUUUGAUUUGGCUGAUGGUUGCAUGAAGUUGAAACAAUGUUUUUGAGUAUUUCAGAUAGAAGUUAGAUGAAAAAGGAUUGAGAAUUUAGGGUGCCAAACCUCAUAUCAUGCUAUUCAUGACGCCCCUGAACUACCAACAGCAGCAAGAGAAUCGCACUCAACAAAAUGCGCUUGCUGCUAAAUAAUGAUUGCUUCAUUUUACUGAUUUUGUGAAGUGCUACUAUCCAAAAAGAAAGAAGUUAAUAUUCAGUCAUAAGCAUAUGAUGGUUUUAAAAUGAAAUAUCCUCGUGUCUGUGGUCAAUUUUCUUGCUUAGUAAAUAUGCAGGAGUUUCUAUGUUUACCUUGAACUCUGUAUGUUUGUAGAGGAGGCUUAUAUAUAUGCAUAUGCUCUGUAUCUUUGUUGGACACUGCGGUUCCUUGAAUUUAGAAGGAAAAAUGGGUUUUAUGGAUCUUAAUCCUUAACUUUCUGUGCAGAGGUGAAUUAUUUUUAUGAAUUAUUUUUAUGCUGUGUGACUUCCAAAUUCUAUUAUUUUUAGAACAAAAGAUGGAUUUUGUUGAUUUUGUUGAUUGUGAAUCAUGAUCGUGCUCCUUUUCUUUUAAUGGGUGUAUGCUAGUUUCUCAUUUUUGCAACAUCCAGUCUUGAGAAUUUGUACCACUUUAGUGAACUGCUUGCUGCCACAUACAUCUAUCAUUUGGAUGGUGUGAAAAUUGUUUUAAAUUCUUUGGUUUAUGAUUUAGGCCAAAGAGAUUGGAACGGUAUAAAUGAAUCUCAACGGCCUGGGUAUUGAGAAGGUUAGAUCUCUUUCAAAUCUUGAUUUAGUACGCUUUCUCAAUUUACUUGCUGCAACUUUGUUUCUUCGUUCUUUUAUUCUUCAUCUUUAUUUCAAAUAGGGGACGUCCCGACUUUACCUUUUUUACCUUAAAUGAAUGCUAUCGGAUCAAUUAAUGAAUUGUAAAUAAGAAUAUUCUGCAUGAGCCAAUUUUUUUCUGUUACGAAAAUCGCAGGAUUUCAAAGAUAUUAGGUUUGGUUUUCAUGAAAAUCACUCAAUAAAAUUAUUGGUUGAAUUAGUGAAAAUUAGUAGCACCAAUCUAAACUUUUUUCUUAAGUGCAUCAUUACUUUGAGUCGAAAUUCUAAAUAGGAACCUGUUUUGUUUAGAGCCUUGAAAAAAGAACAAAAAUAAUCUCAAACUUAAAUCUCUUAGUAACCUCAUUGUUUCGUCAGAAAAUCUUCAUCAUGCUGAUUUAAUAACAAUAUAAUUAUACAAUACAAGUGCACCUAAUCUAAGUUCUUCCAUUACUUCAUAAUCGAAAAUACAAGGAACAACUCAACAACAUUGACAAUAAGAAAAUGCUCUCUGCCUACAACUAUCUAUUGUACAAAUCAGAAAUGAAAUCAUAAUUCUAAUUCACAUCUUCAUGUGUCUCUGUAGUUCUAAGUUGCUGCUUUAAUAAAGCAGUCUUUCUUGUCUUAAGCUCAGCCCCUUCAAUAUGCAACAAAACCCAUUUCUCAUUCAUAUCCUUCAAAUUCUCCUCUUCCAUUCUCCUCAGCCCAUCUCUCCACACCCCAUUCCCCGAAAACUGCCGAGAAAAUUCAGCCAGAAGAACAGGAAAGUUCUUCAGAUCAACAUCAACCCCAACCCCUUUGUCAACCAUUCGAGUAUUAGGCUUACUGGUUUCACACUGACCAGUUGUCAUGACUCACUAUUUUGAGAGGGUGGUUUCUGUGUUUCCAACAAUAUACCUGCUAGGAUGCGACAAUUAUUUUCCCUCUCUUACACUUUCUAGCAUGAUCAUUGCGACAGAUUAUGGUUUGUUAUCGAUACAACUUUCUUUUUCCUUUUAGUUUGACUCUUUAUUCAUUGGAACUUCAUUUUGUACAGAUAUUGUGUAAUUCAUUUGGUACAACUUUUGGGGAAAAAAUUUCUUCUAUAAUAUAACAAGCUAAAGACAAGAUCAACCUCCCAAGAUCCUAGUUAAAAGGUGAAUUUUAGACAUCUCCAUGAUUGAAAAUCAUUGUUAUAUGAUCAAGAUGAUUUUAGAGUGCAAAACUCCUAUUUGGAAACUAAUAUAGCAAGCUAAACUCUUGUUUCUUCACAAAGAACUCUUGUAUCAUUACUUUUUAGAAAUUAAUAUAACAAGUAAAUUUUGCUGCUAGUAUGAGGUAGUAGAAUUGUUGUAUGUCCUAAAAGACUAAACUGAUAGCUUGUAAUUUUAAGGUUAUUGGUUAGAUUUCUAUUUCAUCUAACUUCAAUGGCCUCUUCUUAGUUAAUGUCAUUCAUAUUAGAGGAUGAAGAGUAAUAGAGAUACCUUUUUUUUUUUUUUUUAUCAUGGAUAGUAUGCUUAUAUCGGUUGGCUAUUGCUACUUGUGUAAAUUGUCAUGGGUAUUAUGUAUGUACUUAUUGCUAUUGCUAAAUUGCUACUUGUGUAAAUUGUCAUGGAUUUUAUGUUUGUACUCAUUGGUAGAGCUUUUUUUUGGAUAAGAAACUAGGAGACCUUUAAUUUCUGUCAAGCCAUAAAUGAUACAAGUUGUUCUAGUUUCAUUUUCCUAGUACCUUAAUAUUUCUUGGCUUCAUUAACUGAAGUGGAUUGCACAUGAAAACUGUUUUCUUUCUUAUAUUUGUAGAUUUGUGGAUUGGAUAGCGUUUCUUCCAACCUUAUUGACAGUGAACUACUAAUGGAUUCUUAAGUUUCAUUCAUCUCGAUUAUUACUUAUGAUUACUUAUUCAAUAAUUUCCUUGUAGAUUCCUUAUUUAUAUCCAGCUAAAUUUUCUAAAGAGUUGUAAUUUGUAAAAAGUUUUAAUAUUGUAGACCAAGUGGAUGUUAAGGUGAUGUUGUUAUUCUACAUGUGUGCUCUGCUAUGUAGUUGUUUCUCUUAUCGACGCAUUUAGUGAUAGAUAAUGCUCAAUGUUGAAAUUUUCUAUAAGAGUUGUACUCUCUCGUUCUAUGAUGGAUGCUUAUAUGUAUGUUGUCUUUGUAGGUUCAAUUGAAGUCGACAAUUUCAUGGGUUUACUUUCAAAGAAAAUUUUCAGAGACGAACAUUCUCGGUUGGUCGUUUAUGCUUUAGCAGAAAAUCUUGUUAGAUGUAUUCUGAUGCUAUUUAAAAUAUUUUUUGAUUAAGGGAUAGGAUUCCGUACUUGUAAAUUGUUGGAACUUGAUUGGAAAUGUACAAAUAUUAUAAAUUGUAUUAUAGCGUAUAUAUAUUAAAGUGUCGACUAUUUUUUUCUAUACGGGUGUUAAUAUUGUAAAUUCAAAAUUGUCAUUGUCGGCUACAUUAUUGUCAUUCAAAUGGUUCGUGUAAUGACAGAGUGGCAAGAAGAACAGGAAAAAACUAUAGUAAUCUAGUAAUUUGCAACAUGAAAAACAUGUCGUAAUAUAUGAAUUUGUGACAGUUAUUAAUUGUUGUGAAUAUGAAAACAAUGACAGUUGUUUUUUACAAAAUUAAUUGUCACGAUUCUUCUAUCUUUGAUAGAAAAAAAAUGUCGUCAAUAGCAAAACAAUGACAUUUUAAAAAAAAAAAACUGUAGCGAUUAACAUAUCCGUGACAUUUAAAACAUGUCACAAUAAACAAAUUCGCGACAUUUAUUUAACUGUCGUUAAUAUAUAAAUGAUAAUAGUUAUUUAUUGUCAUAAAAUAAAAUAUGACAGUUAUUUGAUGUCGUAGAAUGCUAAUUAACGACAUUUAUUUUAUGUCAUGAAAUAAGUUAUUGCAACAGUUUUUGAAAGCUGUCAUGGAAGGACUUUGCAUGACUCUCGAUUCUAUGACUGAAAAUAAUUGUCAUGGAUUUUGUUCGCGACAGUAAAUAACUGUCGUCGUAGACCAUUUUUCUUGUAGUGCGUGAAGAAAAGAUGAGAUCUUUCAAAAGUUUCAAAUCUCGAGGGUUUUAAAUAGAAUCAUCUCCCAACACCAUGUGAAGGAGGUUAGGAGUUAGGAGAACUCCCGACGAUUUAAGGAUGUGUCAGGAGUUUAAGAGAGCUCUCGACACAUUUCUUAACUAUGUCAAGAGUUUUCUCCUGAUCAAAUUAAUUUUUUUUAUCUAACUCGUAACAUAACAUCGAUGUACAGCAUUGGAGGUUGUACGUAGCGUACUCCUGAUGCGUGCUUUGAGCCUAUCCAGAGAUAUACUUUCUCUCAACCCGUUCUCCCUUGAGGAUCAUUUUGUGCGUUAGAAAAUAGCUUUUUUUUUUUCUCUUGAAUUGAUAUAGAUGGAGCUGUUCAAAGGAUACAGCGUUACUCUAACAUCUAUUUGCACUUAAUUUAUGUGCUUUUAUGCAAUUAAGCUCCAAUCCUAUCCUUUUUCCAUAAUGACGACGCCAUCAGUGGUAAUUGAGGAAUAUUUUUCUUUGUUCCCAUGCAUACUGUUUGUUCCUCAAGCCACAAAAUGUGUUAUUGAAUGUGCUUAAGAAUGCAUCUUUUCUUUCUUUAACUGUACAGUAAAGUUUAAUGGUGUAAAUGGUUACCAAAUUAAAGUAUAUAUAAAUCAAAGUUAAAAAGGAGUAAAUAUUAUUGUUUGGAUAACAGAUUUAACAGAGAAAGAACCAUCAUUGUUUGGCUUCCAGAUAGGAUGAUCUUUGUGAUUGUUGUCUGGAAGAGAUGGAAGGCUGCUUUGUAUAGUUUUCCACCGUAAGACUUCUCUAUCUUUUAGAGAUUUUCACAAUAAGUUGUUGAAACUAUGUGUCUAUGUUCUUAAAUGAGACAUUUAUCGAGUUCUUUUUUUCAUUAGGGAAACAUUUAUCAAAAGCAUAUUUGGUUAUUCAAUUGAAAACAUUUUCUUUCAUUUUAAUUUUAAUAAAUAUUCUAUUUUGGUCAAUAUAAUUACAACAUUGACUUAAUAAUACAUUGAAAAACUCUUCAAUAAAUCAUCUAAAAGAAAAACAAAUGCAUGCGGUAAAAAUGAGUCACAAUCAAAACACGGAUAUUGAAAAUAUAUAAUAUAUAAAUUUAAAAAAUUAGAAAAUUAAGAAAUUGAAAAUCAAAUUAUUUGGAUUUCUCUAUCAUGCUGGUAUGUAUUUAAAAAUCCACCAAAACUCUCUAUUUAUAGAAAAAAUGACAAACAUGAGGUGGGUUACAUAACCACUAAAUUCAUGUUUACUUGACACAGGAGAUCUUAUUUGAACUCUAAAUGUUUACGAUAAUCAAACACAUAACUUCAUUAGAUAAUAAACAUUUAUAUAUUAUCUAAUAUUUAUGAUAUAAUACAAAUAAUUGGAACAUUAUUUAAAUUUAAAGGACAAUUUCCUACUUUUGCUCAUGUACUUUAAGCAUAAACACUCAUGAUAUCCCUCAAAACUCAUAAACCAAACAAAUAUUUUUUCUCACAAGUAAAUUCAACUUCACUUUUGUCUUAAAUAAUUGCUCACACUAGUACAAAAGUGGUCUACAACGACAGUUAUUUACUGUCGUCAACGAAUUUCGCAACAGUUAUUUUCAGUCAUAGAAGUGGGAGUCAUGGAAAGUCCUUCGACGACAGUUUUCGAAAACUGUCGUAAUAGGUUAUUUUAUGACAUGAAAUAAAUGUCGUUAAUCAACAUUUAACGGCUUCAAAUAACUGUCAUAAUUUAUUUUAUGACAUUCAAUAACUAUCAUCAUUUCUUUAUUAACGACAGUUAAAUAAAUGUCACGAAUUCAUUUAUUGCGACAUGUAUUAAUUGUCAUGAAUAUGUUAUUCGCGACAGUUUUUUUUUGUAAAAAUGUCAUUGUUUAGGUAUUGACGACAUUUUUUUCCAGUCAUCGAUUAUGCAAUCGUGACAGUUUUUCGAUAACAUUAAAUGUCAUUGUUUUGCUAUUGACGACAUUUUUUUGCAGUCAAAUAUAUUGCAAUCGUGACAAUUUUUUUGAAAAAAAAUUGUCAUUGUUUACCUAUUGACGACAUGUUAUUCCUGUCACAUAUAGAGCAAUCGUGACAAUUUAUUUUGUUAAAUAACUGUCAUCGUUCUCCAAUUUACAACAACUAAUAACUAUCACAUUCCUCAAUUUCCUAUAGUUUUAUCAUGUUCUUCAUGCAGCUCCACCAUUACACGAACCAUUAGAAUGACAAUAAUGUAGCUGAGAAUGACAAAUUUGAAAUUAUACAAGUUUCACACCAAUGUACAAGAAAAUAGCCAACACUUUAAUAUAUAUACACUAUAAUACGAUUUAUAAUAUUUGUACAUCUUAAUACAAGUUUCAGUAAUCCACAUGUACGAAAUACUAGCCCUUAAUCAAAAAAUAUCUUAAAUAGCAUUCAAAUAUAUUUGACUGGACCAACCGAGAAUGUUCGUUUCUGGAAAUGAUAUUUGAAACAAAACUCAUGAACUUGUCGAUUCCAGUUGAACCUACAAAGAAUCCAUAACACAUAUGUACAGUCAAUGAAUAACUAAAUCAACGUCUCAACAAAAUACAGAACACAAACAAGAACUUCAACACUUGAUUCCAUGAAAUGAAAAGAGAAGACCAUGAGGACUAUAUUAGGCAAACACAGCAAACAAAAACAUAUUGCUACUCUUUCUCUCUAGAAUACACAUACCAAAAACAUACCCAGCUCACUCUCCCAUUCUCCAUUCAUUUUACUACCCCACUCAUGGUGGUCCCUCUUCAAAUCUGAUAAUGAAAAUGAAGUUCCUAAGAAGAGGAGAAAGAGAUCAAGGAGAAGAAGAACGUCCAACCAAAUGGCCACUGCAAAUUGAACAACUUCUUGGGUUGUUCCUAGUCCUUAGAACAAAACAGCCUACGACAAUACAUGUACGACAAUUUGUAAUCCUUAGAGUUAAACAGUUUGUAUUAUGCAAUCAUCGCCAAUAAAGAUGAACUAUGAAUAAUCAUGUACCAAUUCUCUCAAAUUAUUAAAACGAAUAGGAAGAUUACAGCAACUACUCAGGUUCAGGAACAAAAAAAGUGCUACAGCGAUUGAAGGGUUCAUGUGCAAGCCAUACAUGUAUUGACAUACCAUUCAUUGUUGGUUUGCGACAAUGUAGGUCUAUAGCGUCUUACUUGAAUGAAGUGCCCAACAUUAUCCCAUGUGUAUGACAAAGCUGUCCAUAUUUUGGAAGACCGCAGUUCUGAAUUACAAAAACCAAUUAGACAGCACAUUGCAAAAACAUACAUCUCUAAUCCCCCAAUCCAUAUUAAACAUCCAAAGGUAGUGAACCAAGGACACAAGCAAAUAAUCACCUUCUGCAGUUAUUUGAUUGCAAGAAGAUUCAUAUCCCAAUGCAGUAUGGCACCAAAUACCAUAAUUCCAUGAGCCAGUCACAUAUAUAUCGAACUCUUCCUAAGAAACCUAUAAGGAGUAAUAACAAAAAAAAUCUUCAAUCAAAUGGUGGGAAUGGAGAAACUAAGGUGAGUGAGAACUACAAUGGGGAAGUCCAAAAAAUGAAAGGGUACUCAGAAUCCUUCAUUCACAAAAUCUCAUUAAAAACUAGAUUAUUAUACCCAAACAUUGACAAAAUCUCAUAUGCUACUUAAAACUAGAAAAAACAAGAAGCAUGUAAUAAUAUUGAAUUCAAACAUGUACUAGUUUUAAAAUAAUUAACUCUAUUGACUUUAAUAAACUACAUUUGUCUCUCUAGAUCUUUUUUUUAUUUCCAAACAGAAUAAAUAACUUGAAACUUCAACCGAUACACAUCAUAAAAACUAGCAGCCUGAGUUCAAAUUUGCUAAAACCAGAAAGAAAAGAGGGGAAAAAGAAAACAACAGAAAACAGUAGGAUCAACCAACAAUUCCAAAUAACCAAACCAAGCAGAAGAUUUAUGUAAUUUUAAUUUUUUAAAUAUAAAAUAAUAAAAAUUUUAACCAUAACAUUCUAUGACAUUUAAUAACUGUCGCGAAAAGUGUUUUCCGAAAAAUUCCAUCUUUUCCCGCCAAAAACGCGAAAUUUUCUAUUUUGUGACAGUUUUUUUUUUUCCAUUCAUUUUUUGAGAUUUAUAACUGUCAUAGUAGACAGGUUUUCUUCUAGUGUCAAUAGGUUGUUCACGUACAAAUAGAAAAGCUCAGCUCUCUCAUCUCAAAACCAUUUUUGUUUUAGUUUUUUUUAUUUGUUUUUGAGAAUUAAGUGUCUAUUUCUUUUUCAUUUCUUACAAUGAUCUGAUCAAAUCAUUGUUAGGUAUAAUAGUUAAAUUCUUUAGCCAAAUUUGAUGAACAAAACUAAGAUUUUAGAAGCUACUUUCUUUAGUCUUCAAACUUUGACUUGGUUUUUUAAACUAUGUUUGUAAAAUGUAGAUAUCAAACAAACAAAUUUGUAAAUGGAUGUAGUGUAUAUAUUUACUUAGUUUUCAAAAACAAAAAAUAAGAUUGUUACAAACAAAUUUGAUCAACAAACCCUGGGUAAAAAUUGGCAGUGGAUCCCACUACUUAAUUAUAUUAGUCCAUUUCAGUAACAAUAACCAAAGAAACGAAAAUUUUAAUUUGCAUGCAAAAAACAAACAAAAUUAUUCAAAGUCAUACUAAAACAAAAUAGAUUAAGUUUCUGUUACUAUAUAUGACUAUGGAGAUAUGGAGAUGCCAAAUUGGUAACGACUUUCCUUUUAAACUAUUGAUCAAACCAUUGGCACCGUAAUACCUUUGUCUUUUCAUUUUUUUUAUAUAACUAUUUCACUCAUUUUUUUCUUUUUUUUUGUUAACACUACUCAUAAUUUUUCUUCUAUAAUCUUUAGUACAAAAAUUAUCUUCGAGUAUUAAAAAGAAAAAUUAUCAAAAAUAGUAAAUUUGUCAAAAUAUUUACAGCCAUAGCAAAAAUUUCAGACAUUGAUAUGUUUUUUAUCGGUGGCAUUGAUAAACAGUGAUAGAAGCCUAUCAAUAACUAUCAUUGAUAGAAUCCAAAAUUUUGAUAUAGCUUGUAAAUAUUUUAAUUUAUUUUGUUAUUUUUAAAGAUGCCCUUAUGUAUUUAUUUAGUUAAUAUUAAAUUAUCAAUAAUUAGUUCAUUAAAAUAAAGUAUUUUAGGUCGUUUUUUCGUGAUUAUUUGAGGAUUCUAAGAAUGUGUCAAACCUAGUUGAUAUAUCAUACCGCACCUCUUCAUCCUUCUUUUCCUCUUUCCCUCCUUCCCUCUAUUAACUUGUUCGAAAAAUAUAUAUUGCCAAAAAAACCUUGAGAAAGUAGUGCGUACUCUCCAAAUCCGAGCAUGCACGAGAACUAAGGCACUUACAAUGUUAGAGCAGUUUAAUUUUAUUUCGGUAUAAUUGUUGAACUAAAAAAAUAUGUAAUAAUUACCCUCUCCUAACUUUAAAUUAGCUGCUACCUUUAUAUACUAUCUAGAGUUCUAUAAUGCAUCAAGUCUAAGUUUUCUAAAAUUACACCUUGAUUUUGUAAUUCUAAAGAACAAACGUCAACAACAUAUAUAUUAAAGAUGGAAGCAUUCCAAUUUUUUACCUCUUAGUUGUGAUUAUGAAUUCACUGUUAAGGUACACUUAGGUUAACAUUCCUUCCUGAAGAAACAAAUUUACACCAACAAGAAUUUCAGUUUUUAAUGACCAAACAAGAUGCCAAAAACUCCAAGCACGCCAUUUCUUAUAUAAGAACCUCCACCAUUCACAAUUUUUUCACACAAAUCAACACAAGGAUUCUCUCAUUCUCUCUAUAUCUCUACACUCAUUUUUGUUCAAACAAUGGAGGCCACAAAGUCUACGAGUGCAUCCACCAUAAGGUUAGCAAUUGUAUUCCUAGUCUGCAUAGUCAUUUUAGCUCCGUCAGUGACGGCCCGCACGAUGGCAGAAGCACCAAGUCCAGUAUUAGUACUAUUUGAUGAGGAUGAUUCAUCUUUCUCAAACUGCGCCCCUUUUAUUUUAGAAGCGACAAUGUGUGUGGUAGAUGUGAUCAAGCUUCCAGUUGCUUCUCAUCCUUCUUGCUGCAAAGCCAUUUCUGACCUUAACGAUUGUGCUCCCCAAAUUUAUCAACAUAUUCCUGACAUGGAUGUGAUUAAGAAAAUAUGUGGCCUAUGAGUAAUUGGGUAAUGAUCAUGAUGAAUAAAAACUUAUAUCACAAUAAAUUUCUUUUUUUUUCUAAAGUACGCUACAUUAUUAUAAAUUUAUAGUUUAUGGUGGAGAGUAAACGUUGUUGAAGUCUGGGUAUCUAUCUAUAUAUAUAUAUACAAGUCUAUCAGGGAUUUGGCAAAUGUUGUUAAUUACAAAAAAAAUUAUUGUUUCCAUUUAUAAGAAUUUGUUUCAUUUAACUAAUUUUUAAGAGUUUAAUUUUUAAUAUAUUAGUUUAGGAAAAAAAAUCAGACUGUUUAUGAUCACUCAAGGAAAAUACUUUCAAAUUGUGUAUUUUAAAUUAUUUUCACCCAAAGAGUUUAAAAUAUAAAAACGAUUUUUUUCAAAAACAAUUUUUUUCCCAAUCAAUUCGAAAGGUCCUAAACCAUUGACUUAUGUGAAUUUGUGAAUUUUGCAUCCGCGGCAUAGUUGAAAUCAAUACAAUUAAUUAGUGAUGUCAUUUUGUCUCUCCUUUUGCUUCUCAACUAUUCAUAGUGAAAAGAAACUUAGUUUAAUGACAUUUAACAUGUACUCUCUCUUAAUUCAAGUUUCAAUACUCUCGUUCUUGCAAAUGUUCUACUAGGAAAAAGUACAUUAACUUUACAUACCUCUAAAUAAUUGACAUUUUACUGCAUAUCUUUUGAGAAUUGAAGUUCAAAUCCUCACUACUAAAAUCAAAAUAUUAAAGAAACUGAUUGUAUCGCUUGUUUUUGUAUAUAGUCCUAAAUUGAGCUUUGCCUCUAGCUCCUCAACAUCUUUAUAUACUACUUUGCUUUAUUCCGUAAUACAAUCCUUUUUUGAUGGAGAGUAUGAUGGAAGGAUUAUGGAUGUGUCAACCUGUCAAGGUAGAAUUCGAGAGCUCCACUUCUUCUCCAAAAACAGUAAUCAGCAAAGAGAAGAUAUUGCUCAACACUCCCUUCUGGAUAAAACUUCCAAUUUCAUCUUAUGUUCCUAACUUUGUCGUACUAUCUUAAACUAAAUUACUCAUUGUUCGCAUGUUGUAACGACCCAACCUUUCUAGGUAAGUCGAGGUCAUUAAUUUUUGACAAAAGACAUUGGUUGAUACAAAAUGAAAUGUAAGCCAAUUGAAAAACAACUUUAAGUCAGACCUGAUUUUCAAAUAUUCAAAACUUAAGAAAAAUGUAUUAUUUACAAAUAAAAGUUUGUAAACUAAGUUUCAAUACCACGUCUUUAAGCCUCAAAAGAAACAAUAAGCGGAAGCAAAUAACACGUUUCCUAUGGCAAUCACGCUUCCUUCCUGCCCCUCGCCGAUUUGCCACCUUUAUUACCUUUGCCUGAAAAUUAAACAUAAGAAGGGUGAGUAUAAAAAUACCCAGUAAGAGACCCUCUACUGGUCUCGUUAGGGGAAAAUAAAUUGUUAACAUUCUAUUGGGACACCCUGUACAGUCGUAGUCUUGUGAUCCCGUAGGAUGCACAUUUCAGUCUAACGCCCCGAGGGACGUACAUAUCAGUCUAGUGUUCUGCAGAAACACAUAUCAGUCUAAUGCAUCCCGAAGGUGCAGAAUAAUUGGUGAUCCCUUGGGACACCUACAAGGCACACAUCCCAAUAAAAGCUAACAAUUUUCCCCUCAUUCCAUUCAAUCCAUCUUUCAGUUACUUCAAAAUAUAAAGUUCUUUCUCUCAACGUUCUAACAGUCAACUUAUCUAACUUUAAACAAAUGUCUGUCAAUAACAUACUAACACGUCAGUCAAUCAAACUAUACAGUCAUAACACCCCUCAGUUCACCAGCACACAGUCAUACUUUAGCGUAACGUACACCCAGUCUAAACUACAAUCACAAGUUCACAUAUGCAUCUCAUACAAACACAAUCUACAAUUUUCGUCUUGUCCACAUCCACACACAUAUAUAUAUAUUCCAAGACAAUCACAAUAUGCAUUCAGCAUUAAGUCUACUUCAACCCAUAUGUAUAUAUAUAUUUUCAGUCAAUCCACAGUAAAUAUUCAACACCGAAUCUACAUCCAUACGUGUAUAUAUAUAUAUCAUCUCAACAUCUUUACUUAGUCAGAGAUAAACAUACAGACAUACAAUUCACAAGCAUAGGUGAGUCCAGUAGAAAAUCCCUUACCUUAAGAUUUCCUAAGUUUCUUGGUCAACAAAGUCCAACGCACCAAUCCUAAUUUAAAUAGAGAAUUUAACUCCAAAUAAACUUGUCGCGAUUCGUUGAGGUCUAACUCCGCCUCAAUUAACACCUUCAAAGAGCAAUAUUAACCAACCGUUUAAAUUUAACAUUUCAUCUCAACGAAUCAAUCAUACGGAAACUACCAAAUUCACAAUUACGAACUUACACUAAAACCCAAUACUUCUUGUGGUAGGGCAGAAAUUGCAAUUUAGCACAGGUGAAAUCGACGCACGCGAAAGGAAGAUCUAGAUGUGACCCAUCCUGGUUGGGGAAGUGUAGUCGCGUUACACGCGCGAUUGGAAGACACGGGCGCGCGCGAUUUUAGAUUUGCGAACGGAGGUAGAGGUAGCUUCACGACGCACCACUUCGCCAACGGCAGACAACUUCACGAACAGAGUGGUUCGUGUUAAAAAACGAUUAUACAAUUAAUUUAGAAAACCAAAAUGAUUAUGAAUUAAUUCUGCGAUUAUACUAAUUAAUUAUAGGUUUUGAAAAGUCAAAAGUCAAAGAAAACUUUAGCAAAAUAUAUACUAUUUUAUUCCUUCUCUUCUCUCCCGCUCGAUGGACAGCCCACACAUGUGAAUAUACGAGUAUAUCUACAUUUAUCUAUCUCCUCUCUUCUUGGGGUGCUCCAAGGGCAUGAACCACACAUCUACAUUUUCUGUGUUAAUUCUAAAAUGCUUUGGGAUAUGGUUGAGCUUAUGAUACAUUGGCGAAAUAACAAUAACAAUAUUGCUUCUUUAUGCAAAGACAUUAUUUGUCGUGUAAUUUUUUUAAAAAAAAAAAAUUAUAGGUAGUAUUAUUUCUAUCACCAUUGUUGUGGUCCUUUGGUCCAUUUAUAGCUUGAGAGGAACAACAUAAUCUUCAAGAACAAGAAUUGAUUCACUGCUAAGCUUUGGAAAGAAAUUCAAGUUCUCACCAGAUAUUGGAGUAGUAGAUCAAAUCUCUUUAACAAUUACAAUGUCUACUCUAUUACCUUAACUCUACCUAAGCUUUCUAUAACUUAUUGGGUCUUGUUUGGGUUACGUUCUCUAGCUCUUUUCGCUUUUUCCUUGUUUCGUGUUUUGUAUUUCUUUACCAUCAAUGAAGCAUGAAUGAUAAGAGUGCUAAGAGGGUAUCCACUUAGUGGAGAUAUCCAGAGCACCUACUGACCCAUCAUAUAUAUUUUUCAAAAAAAAAAUAUUAUAUCCUAUUCAAUUAUGUGGUGGCUACUUUAUGGUCUAUCUGCCUUGAAAGAAACAAUAAAACUUUCAACAACAAACACACUAGCAUUGUCAACAUAUGGCGUAGGACAUUUGCAAGCUAGUUAUUGGUUUUCUAGACAUCGCCUCUUCUCAUAACACUGUUCAUCUACCAUUACUUUUAAAUAAUAGCACUCUCAUAAUCUGGAUAUAUGUAUCUUAUGGCCUGCUCUCUAGCCCUCCUUUGAAUUAGGGAUGAUGAAGGUGCUAAAACGGUUCCCACCUAAUAGGGAUGUUUGGGUGCAUCUUAUCGUGCCAAGUCGUAUCCCUUUCCUAAUACACUUCCUCGUGAGACCUUGAACUAAUACUAAUUGUCCUUUAGGUUUCAAACUCUAGUGACUUGGGUUGUCUAUCAUGUGAUAUAAUUUUAAUAUUUCAAAACUAAUUUUGCAUAUAUGAAAACUUUGUAAAAUUAAAUGUUAAAUCAAUUUUGCAGCAUAUAUUACAUAAGGGUAGUUUUGUAAUAAGACAAAAAAAAGACGAUUUUAAAAAUCUCUACUAAACAUUGCUUUAGGGAACUUUGAACCUAUUUCUCCAAACUUUCUAGGAAAAAAAAUAAAAGAUGUUCAUCCCUUCAAAAAUUUCCAACGAGAAAUAUACAUUAUUCUAAAACCCAAGAAUCAAAAGUAUAAUUUGCCACAAGUAUAAUAUGUAUGUAUGGGUGUAUAUCAUUAAUUUUUAUGAGAACUAUAAUGAUGUAUAUUAUCAUCAUUAUGAUAAAUGAAUGUUUUUAUCAUUAAAAACUGAAAAAAAAAAUAUAGAUCAACUCCAAAUGUAACUUGUGCAACAGUAUGGAUCCUAUUACGUAACUCCAGAAGUCGAGAAUGAACAUAUAAAUUAAAAAAAUUGCAAAUUAAUUAAACCCAAAUUCAAAUUAACUAAACCCAAAUUUUACUAACUCCAAAGACUAAAAUCAACACAGAAAAAUUAAAGACAUUACAAAUAAAUUAAACCCAAAUUUUACUAACUCCAAAGUCUCCAACAUUAACAUAUAGAAAUUAAAGACAUUGCAAAUGAAUUAAACUCAAAGUUUAGUAACUCCAAAGUUCAAAAAGUUAACAUACAAAUUAAAGAAGUUUUCAUAGCUUAUUACCAAACGUUUCCAAUUUCCCUAUAUAUCUAACCUCCUUAGUCCUUCUUUCUCCCAAACAAACCAAACAGGACUAUUGAUUCUUAGAGAAAUUAAGAACCUCCUUAUUCAAUCCUUUCUAAUUCAUACUCAAUUUUAGUACCAACAAAUGGCAACAUCAGCAAUAACCAAGUUACCACUAGUUCUCCUAGUGUGCAUUGCCAUUUUAGCAUCAUCCGUAACGGCUCGUCCAACAGCAGCAGCAGCAGCAACACCCCCAUCGUUGGAGGAUUUCUCUUUGUUUCCUUGCAUAUCAUUCGUUCCUAAGGCAACAAUAUGUGUGAUUGAUGUGCUUAAAAAUGCAGUUUCUCCUCAUCCUUCAUGUUGUGAAGCCAUCUCUAAACUUCAUGAUUGUUCGUCCCAAUUUCUGAAAGACAUUCCCUCCGGUGAUAUGAUUUUGGUUAAGAGCAUUUGUGCUUCAUGGGGAGUUUCUAUUUCUUAGACUAAAUUAAUGUAAUUUGAGUUAAAUUUGAUGAAGUUAAAUGGUGGAUGUUUACUUCUUCUUUUUUUUUUAUUUAAUAAGUACCAUUUAGUUAGAAUAUAUAAGGAAGUUGGUUUUUGUGGAAUAUAAGACUAACGCUCCCUUUGAAUGAAAAAGUAAGCAUUUUUUCUACAAAGUUGAAAAUAAGCAUUUUUGUGGAAUAUAAUAUCUCAACCUUUGUUUUGUUCGUUCAUUCCCCACUUCAAGCUUUAUCUUGUAAGGAUUUUUUGUUUGCAUUAUAUUCUCAGCAUUCUGAAAGAAAUAGAAAAAAAAAAAUAGAUGCAACUAUAAGAUAUUAAUCCGAUAGAAAUCAAAUGACAAUCAUAUAUUAAGAACUACUGAUGAUGAUCCAACAAAAAAAUAAAAGAUAAUCAGAAGACAAUAUUACAAACUACCAAUUUAUGUAACAAAUAAUAGAAAGGUAAUUAUAUAUAUGACCAUCAAAAGAAAAUUAUAUAAAAUUAUUGUACAUUAUUAAUUAUUUGUCAAAGAAUAGGAAGACAAUUAUCAAAAGACAAAUUAAUCAGAUGAUAAUAUCAAAAACUAUUUAGAGAAAUAGAAGGUAAUCAUAUAAUAGUUAUAAGACAAUCGGAAAAUCUUUCAUUUUGGAAAGGUUUAUGGUGUGAAAACAGUCCAUUAUACUUGCACAAGCCUAGACUUUUUGCUCUUUCUACUAUCCAAGAUGGAAGUAUUAAAGAUGUUUGGAACGCUAACAUUUCGAACUAGGAUAUAUUUCCUAGAAGGCUGUUAAGAAGUUUGGAACCGCAGCAAUGGAUAGCUUAAAACAACCUUUUAUCCCUCCAAAUCUCAGUAGAGGUCCUGAUCUCCCCAAGUGGAAGUUCAACUCUGAUGGUAAAUUCACCAUUGCUUUAGUCAAGAAGGCCAUGAUCAACGUUGAACAAAGAGAUGAGACUAGUAUUAGCACUGGUAUUAACAUUUCGGACUACCUAACCCAACUCAACCCUUAUAAUAUGGGUUAGGUAGUCCGGAUUAUUCGUGUUCAACCCAUAUUCUUACACCCCUAGCACCUGUUAACCCAAUGUAUCUUUUUCAAAAAUAAAAAGGAAAGGUAAACUAUGGAAAAGAAGUAACUCAAAUAUUUUAUUUUCAAGCUCAAUUCCAAUUGGUAAUACUACCCAUCAAUAAUUCAAGCUUGCAAAAUGAAGUAUAAAAAAUAAUUAAUGACAAUUAGAAGAUAAUCAAACGACUAUUAGAAGUAACUAAUUGACAGAAAAAUAGAAUGUAAUCAAAUGAUUAUCAAAUAGCAAUCAAAUUUCAUGCUAAAAAAACCAAAAACCUCUAAAUUAAACCUACUUAGUUUUUUCAAAUAUUUUUUUGUUGAUCCUCCAAUUUUCCUUAUAUAUGAAAAUACACAAGAGAUAGUUUUUUCCUUUGUUUUUUUCUUUUUGACCAUGUAUAUAACUAUCAUCACUUUUUAUUAUAAAUGCUUUCCAUUAAAAUCAAAAGAAAAAAAACACCUGAUGUAACUUAUACAACAUUAUGAAUUUGUACUUACUCCAAAUUAAACCCAAAUUUUAGCAACUCCAAAUCCAAAGUCAACAUAAAAAAAUAAUAAUAAUGAAGAAAUUAUAUUGCAGUUUUCAUAGCAACCAAACGUUUGCAAAAGAGUUUGCUAUAUAUCUAACCACCCUACUCCUACUUUUUUUCUCACACAAACAAAACAGGACUAUUGAUCCUUAGCGAGUAAUUUAAAACUUUCUUAUUCAACCAUUCUCUUAACCUAUUUCAUCAUAUUCAAUUUUAGUACCAACGUCCAAUGGCGACAUCAGCUACCAAGUUACCACUUGUACUAAUAUUGGUAUGCAUUGCCAUUUUAGCAUCGUCUGUAGCGGCUCGUCCACCGAUGGUGGGAGCAGCAGCGCCUAGUAAGCCAUUGGGAACGGAGGAAUAUUUCUCUUUGUUCCCAUGCAUAUCAUUAGUUCCUCAAGCUACAAAAUGUGUUAUUGAUGUGCUUAACAAUACGGUUGCUCCUCAUCCUUCUUGUUGCGAAGCCAUUUCUAAACUCAAUGAUUGUUCGUCCAACUUUCUCAAAGACAUCCCCACAGGCGAAAUGAUUUUGGUUAAGAGCCUUUGUGCUUCAUGGGGAGUUUCUAUUCCUUAGGCUAGAAGUAAUUAUUUGAGUUAACUUUUUUGGAAGCUGAAUAAAAAAGCUAUCCAUUGGUGAUGAAUAAUGUGUUUUUUUCUCUCUAAUUUUUAAGUAACUAGCUAGAUUAUAUGGGAAGUUCGUUUUUUUUUCUUUUUUGUAAUAAGAGUGUAUACUGUGCUCCAUUUGAAUUAGAAAUAUAUAAGCAUUUUUCAUAAAGUUGGAGAUCAUUUAGAUUCUGAAAACAAUUUCCAUGCUAACAAAAUUAACAUUACAAUUUUUGAAAAGAAAACUAACUUUUACGAAAUUAGAGUUAUUUUUGUAAUUAUGCAUUGAGAAAGAGAAAAAAAUCCAAUUAUACCGACUCCGCUCAGCCGCCUCUCUCCGUUAAGACAACGAUGACACACCGGAAAGCAGCUGGGGUCAAACCAGCCCACAGCGGCGGCGGCGCAAUCAAAUACUAAGCCCCCGUCUCCCUCCGGUUCGAGUUACAGAAACGCUCCGCUCGCUGAAAUUUUUCGAAAUUAAACCCUAAAGUCUGUAACUCCAAAGUUUCAUUACCAGAAUUGCAGUUUUUCAAUUCCAAUAAACAUACCAAACGUUUUCAAACUCAAUUCUUCUUCCCCUAUAUCCAACCUCCGUACUCCCCAGUUUUCUCUCGGAAACCAAAAUAAAAAUCCCCUAAUUCAACCCUUCUCUGAACCUUUACACUCAGAAUUUCCACUAACAAUAGCGGCGAAAUCACUAAAAACAUCUACUUUGAAGCUAAUUCAACUCAACCUGAUCCAUCCUAACAGAGGAUAUCUCUUGUUUCCCCUGCUUUUCAUUUGUUUCAGAGGCGACGAAAUGAAUGACCGAUGUGUUUAAACACCCAAUUGCUCCUCAUCUCUCUUAUUGCAAGGCCAUUUCUAAGCUCAAAACUUGUUCCUCCUCGUUUUUUAAUGGAAUUCCUUCUGCUGAUAUGAUUGUGAUUAAGAGUGUUUGUACUUCGUGGGGCGCUUCAAUUUCUUAGAAUAAUAAGAAAUUUAUGGUAAUAAGCUCUGUUCAAGAAUGGGUUUUCGUUAAAUUGUGGAUUGAAAAGUCAAAUUCAACUUCCUCAUUUUUCAUGUAGUCUUUAUAUUAUAUUAUAAUUUUAUAAGGCUCCAAUUCAACACUCUGUAUUUCUCGAGAUUGCUGCUGAUAACUCCAACUUUAACUCUAAACCCAUUCCAUUUCAUUCACUCUGUUUUGCGAUUGGAACUACAUUUAACGCCGUCCUUUCUAAACUACCACCCAUGGCCGGUACUAACCCUUCCGGCACUGUUCAAGAUGUAGCUUCUAAAGGGGAAGUCCCUGAAAGAUACAUCCAUAAAGAAAGCGAUCGAGGAGCUCGAAAUGCUCCGCUAAUGGCAGCUCCGGUAAUCGACAUCGCUCUCCUCUCCUCUUCAUCCAAAUCUGGACCGGAACUGGAGAAACUCCGACAUGGACUUCAAUCAUGGGGCUGCUUUCAGGUUCGAUUUCUCUUGAUUUUCCACUCUAGAACACUAAAUCGUAAAGGGGGUUAGGAAUUUCUGAUUUCUUUGGACUCUGUAUCUCGAUCCCAUUAAAAAUUAAAUUGAAGAUAUUCAUAAAUGUUUGUGAUGUUCUUAUAGGCUAUAAAUCAUGGAAUGACAAGUGAAUAUCUGGAUGAAGUUCGUCGACUAACGAAACAAUUCUUUGGUCUUUCAAUGGAAGAGAAAUUAAAAUACUUGAAAGAAGAACUUGAAAUGGAAGGAUAUGGGAACGACAUGAUUCUUUCAAACCAACAAAUUCUUGAUUGGACUGAUCGUUUAUACCUUACUGUAUAUCCACACCAAAGCCGUCGUUUCAAGUAUUGGCCAACAAAUCUUCAAAGAUUUAGGUUACUUUUUCUUCCUCAAAUCUUGUUUUGUUUGUGAUUUUGUUUAUGAAUCUACAUAAACAUAUCUUGAUCUGGAAUUCAUUGUAGGGAAGUUAUUGAUGAGUACACUACUAAUGUGAAGCUGAUAAGUGAGAAAAUCUUCAAGGCCAUGGCAAGAUCAUUGGAUUUAGAUGAGAGUAGUUUUCUUAAGCAAUACGGCGAGCAAAUUAAACUCGACGCACGGUUCAACUUCUACCCUCGAUGUCGAAAUCCCGAUCUUGUUCUCGGUGUUAAGCCGCACGCCGAUGGAUCGGCAAUCACCAUUUUGUUGCAGGAUAAGGAAGUAGAAGGUCUUCAGUUCAUGAAAGAUAAUGAGUGGUUCAAUGCUCCGAUUGUUCCGGACGCUCUUCUCGUCAAUGUGGGGGAUCAAGUAGAGGUAAAAGAAGAAACACUUGUUUAUUCUAAAAUCACUGUGAAACAUGUUGGUAAAGAGAGUGGUGAUUUGAUUGUAGAUCACAAGUAAUGGGAUAUUCAAGAGUCCAGUUCAUAGAGUAUUGACAAAUUCAGAGAGGGAGAGGAUAUCGUUGGCAGUGUUUUACCUGCCAGACGCAGAAAAAGAAAUUGAACCAUUAGAGGAGCUGAUUAGUGAAACUCAGCCAAGGUUGUAUAAGAGUGUGAAGAACUUUGUUGGGCUUUCCUUUGAAUACUACCAACAGGGACAGAGACCAAUGGAGGCUGCAAGAAUCUAAAUUUGUUGUAUGGUAUUUCUCUACCUCUACCUCAGUUUUUUUUAGGCAAUGGUAUUGAAUAAUAAAGGGAGGUUGCGCAUCAGAUAGUCCAAUUCCAUAAUUAUUAAUCGAACCAGAAACCGCAUCUCAAACAACACAUUAAUUUUGUCUCCAAAGCUCCAUUUCUAAAUUUAUUUUGAUUUUGAUUGAUCCAGCAAGGGCUUUCUGCAUACUGAAUUGAUUGAAAUUUGAAUGUUUUCUUUUCUAUUCUUUUUUUUUUUUUUUUUUGGAGAAAAGUUAUAUUAUAAACUCGAAUUUAAUUUCUCUAAAUUACGUUAAAACCUAAAUCUAGUUUCAUUCAAAAUUGUUGGGAUUACUUUAGCGGGAAAAAAAUUGAUUGUUUAUGAUUAAUGUCAAAAAUUGAUCUCAAUUAAUUCUAAAAUAGUUUUAAAAUGAAUUCUGAUUAAUACGGUUUUGGUUUCAUUAAUUCUUCCAUUAUUUUUCCCUAAAAAUGCUUUUAGUUUUGAGAAGUUACAAGGAUAUAGAAUAUUUGUCUUUCUUCCUUUCUAUAUGUUUUUCUUUCUAGAAUUACUAUUUUGUAAGCAUUUUUUCAUCAAUUACAAUCCGUGCAACUGAUUUUGAUGAUUUAGCAUUUGUCAUCCGAUUGUGUCGAGUCUUCUUGCUUUCAAGCACAUCAAUCACCAUUUGUGUUUUACAUAAACAUGUUUGGAUUAGUAUACAUUAUCGAUGUAGUGGAUUGAGGUGUUAGAUCAAAUCCAUAGCCAUAAAAGAUAAAAUGAGAGAAAUCUCUCUAAUAAGAAUGUUUUAUUAAAUUGUAAUGAUUGACUAUUUAUAAUCUUACUACAAAAUAAAACUAAUUUGAGGCUCUUGUUACAUUUUUCUAUUUGGACUCCCUUCGUUGUUUUAAUGUGUUUUUAAUAUAGUCAUUAGACACCCUAGGUUUUAUGUUGUGGUUUAGGCUAGUUUUUAGACAAUGGAAAAACUGAGUCUAAGGAUCAUUUAUUCUUUGAACGUCUUUUUAAGGUGAUUAUUUGGUAAGAAAUUUGAAACUCAAUGUAAUUAGUUGAUGAACUAGGUGUAAGCUAAGGUUUUGAAGAGUCUUUAGUAUACUUAUAUUUAUCACAUUUGACGUGAGUGUAAGAUAUAUAUGUAUGAUGCAACCAUGCGUCCUCCUCGAUGUGGUUAGUUUAAACGGUUGUCCAACUUAAGAUUUUGGUUUGUGUUUUUCACAUGGUGUAGAGCUUCUAUUGAGAGGACUCAAGAGGGUUUCUUCUCCCUGGAACCCUUUAGUACUUUAGUUGUGUGAGUUUAAUUCUGUGUUUGAGAGGUUUUUGUCAUUGUUUGUUUCUUUUCUUUUUGGUGGUAGGUUUGUCUUUAAUUUAAACUGAAAGUUAUGAAGUCCAUUUCUCUUUAACCUAAUACGAUUGUAAAUAAAAAUAAAUAAUAAAUUUAAAUAGACAUUGAUGCCUUUCAUUUUGUAGGCUUAAUUUACACAUCUUUGCACAGAAAAUAAUUUAUUAAACUGAAAGCGAGUUUUCUUUCUUAUUUUAUUACAAAUUUAAAUCUACCAAGAAUGGAAAACAAUUUAAAAUGGACUCCCCAAACAAAAAAAAAGAUAUUUGCUCAAUAAUUAAAGCUAAAUAAGAGAGAUGUUUGAAGUAAGAAAUAAGUUACUAAAAUUAUUAUAAUAGUUUGUGUUUAGAUAUGAAUUAUUUCAAUUUAAUAAAAAAAAUAAUAGCAUUGUGGUUAAAAAAAUGAUAAUAUUGAAUAAUAAAAACAAUAGUAAAUGGAAGCUUGGAGAGCAGUUUAUUAUAACUUAUUGGAGAUUUUUAAAUAGUAUUAACGCUAAUAUUUUCUUUUUUUUAAUAACUUUGGUCCAAAAUGUCCAUAAGUGUAAUAAAUUAAAAUGAAAAGGGCAGUUUAAUCUUAAAAAUGUUUAAUAAAAAAGAAUAUAAAUAUAUAUGUGUGGAUAUGUGAAGCUCAUCAACAUAAACAAUAAUGGCACAAAAUUCUCAGAACACACAAACACAAACACUCCAACAACAACUUCUCAUCAACGGCGGCCACACGCCGGAAAGUUAUAUUUACAAAGGCGGCUACCACGGCGGAGGUUCCAACAAUAAUACUCCACUUCCACUGGCAGAGAUUCCGGUCGUUGACCUUUCUCAACUUUCAUCGCCGUCUGCCGGCGAGGGUCCGUUGAACGACCUCCGUUUGGCUCUUAGUACUUGGGGAUGCUUUCAGGUGAGCUUUCAUGAACCUCAACACUGCCCUUUUCAUAUCAACUUUAUUUUUAAUUCUAUUUUCUUCUAAUUUUCUGCUUCAAACUUUUAAUUAUACAUUUCGACUUUUUUUAAAAAUACAUUUGAGUUUUUAGCUAAAUUUUGAGAGGAAAGAUUAGUAAAUGGAGACAAUUAUUUUUAAGCUUCAAAACUUAUUAUUAAUAUUAUGUUUGUGGUUUUUAAAAGAUGGGAUAAUAUAAAGAAAUACAUUAUUAGAUAUACUUUUGUUUAUUUGCUUGUGUCCAAACACAUAUCUGUUUGUUUUUUUGUAUGUUAAUUCUAUAUAUUUUUAGACAAAAGUAUUGAAUGAUCAACAAUAUACAAUUGCAUAACACUUUUUUCAUAUUAUAAAUGUAUGACUAGUAUGGAGGGUAAUCAGAUAUUAAUUUACUUUUACAUUUUUUAUUUUUACAAUUAAAAAAAUAUAGUGACAUAUACUUUAUUAUUAUAAAUGUUUUUCUAUUUUGCAAACUCCUUACUUUUUCGGUUGUAUUUACAAAUUGAUUAUGGUACAAUUAGUCUUACCUAUACUUAUGUAAAAUCAAGAAUAUAUAUUUAUAUAUAUAUAUAUAUAUAUAUAUGGAAUGUUUGGCAACUAAUUAUAUCUCCAUUUUCUAACCAUUUGGAUUUUUUAUUUUUAUUUUUACAAUUAAAUCAUUUUCUUGUAAUUAUUUAAAUCUUUCUUGAAUUUUUAGCAAAAUUCAAAAAUAAAAUAAUAUUGACAAUAAUAAGGAAUCCUUUGGUUUUCAAAUUUUUAUUUGAUUUUUUAAAAUAUUAAUUUAAAACGUAGAUUACAGUACAAACUAUUUAAACGUGGAAAUAGUAUUCAUGUGCUUAAUUAAAAAUUAAAAAUUAAAAAAAAAAAAAAAACGUAAAAAGAAAAACCAACUAUCCCAAUAUUUCCAAAAAUUAGCUCUAAUUCGAAAUAGUAAGUUAUAUUAAGAAUUCCUUUUUUUUUUUCAAGAAAUGAGAAACCAUAGUAUGUAGAUAUGAAUUAUAGUUUUUUCUAAAAAAAUUGAAAUAAAAUAGUAAUGGCUAAAUGGUCAUGAAACGGAGCAAAAGGGAAAGAGGAGUGAUUGUUAUAAAUUAAUUUAGAUUAACUAAUUUGAGAGUGUGGUUUCAGGCUAUUAAUCACAGCAUUUCAAGUUCAUUUUUGGAGAAGAUGAGAAAAAUAAGUGAGCAAUUUUUCUCAUUGCCCAUUGAAGAGAAGAUGAGAUAUGGAAGAGAAGUUGAUGGAAUGGAAGGAUAUGGGAAUGAUUUAAUUCUUUCAGAACAACAAAUUCUAGAUUGGUCUGAUCGUUUAUAUUUCGUGACAAAUCCUGAAGAUGAAAGACGUCUCGAGCUUUGGCCUUUAAAUCCUCCAUCUUUCAGGUUAGUUUCAACGCUAAUCUUUCAUAUAUCUAAAUCAGUUCAACAUUCUCAAAAAUUGUCACUACAAGAAUGAAAACCUUUCUCGACGCAAAAAUACGUCUAAAAAAACACAAAAUGCGUCGGAGAAAGUAUUUCCAACAUCCAUAUGCAACGUCGGCAUGAACGUCGGAGAAACAACGUUGGGGACACCUUCCCCGGCACGUGCGACGCGAACGCCAGUGUCAUGUUCACCGGUGCAUAAGUUCGACAUCGAAAAAAGGAAACCCUGGUGUGAUGUCAGCACAUCGGCAAAGUCUUUUUUGACGUGACGUUGAGAAACGUCUUCCCUGACGUCGAUGCAAAACGUCGGAGUUUGGCCCUUUCCCUGACGUGUAUUGCACGUCGAGGAAGGCUUUUAUUUUAUUUUUUAAUUAUUUUUUAUUUUUGUUAUCGUAAAUUACCAAUCACCAAGUUCAGUGCCCACUGCAACAUACACAGAGCAGUUGUGGUUGCAAAUGUUCCCAGGACUUUGAUGAUGAUUUUUUGGAAGAUGGUGGUGGAACCAAGGACAACAACAAACACAUGGUUAUCAAGUAUGCCUUUGAACACAUCGAUUUUGUCCAUCUCCCUUGAACUUAUUUCGUUGAAAAUAUGCAAGAAGAAAAUCUGAAAUUAAUCGAGUAGAUGGGUUUCGAUAAUGUAGUAAAUAGAUGUUGGAGGCGUUGACGAGUCCACUCUAAAUUUACUCUAAAUCUCACAAACUUUUAAGAGAAGAAAUUUGUUCUCUUAGAAAACUCAAUAACACACAAGAGAAGAAUGUUGUUCUCUUGAAACUCACUUACUUUCUAAAACUCAAUUUGCUUCUACUGAUUUGAUUCUUUUAUCUUGUAUACAAAUGAAGGAAAUGAUCUCUAUAUAUAGUAUUCAAGAGACACUUCCUAAAAGACACAAAAUAAAUGAAGUACAUGAAUACAUACCAUUCAUGUACUUGAAUAAUUACAUGUAUCUAGAAAUGCAUAUGUAUCUUGAAACUAGAAAUGUAUCUAUUAAUGUGUUAUCCAUAAUGUAUCUAGCUUAUUAAUUUCUAACAUGCCCCCUUAAGCUAGACUUCCCAAACUCCGAGCUUCUCUUUCAUUUUCAAGAAUGAAUCUGUCUUUAAUGCUUUUGUGAAUACGUCUGCAACUUGAUCUUGAGUCUUGCAAUACCUGAUAUAUACUUCUCCAUCUUUGAUCAAUUCUCUGAUGAAAUGAUAUUUGAUGUUUAUGUGUUUGCUUCUUCCAUGAAAAACGGGAUUCUUCGAAAGUGAAAUAGAUGAUUGAUUGUCACAGAACAUGAUGGUCCCUUUCUCUUGAGGACACUUCAAUUCAUGUAGUACAUUUCUUAGCCAAAGUGCUUGACAACUAGCAACAGACAAAGAAAUGUAUUCAGCUUCUGUUGUGGACAAUGCUACAACAUCUUGCUUCUUUGAUGCCCAUGAAACUGCUCCAGAACCAAUAUUAAAUACAUACCCAGAAGUACUUUUGAAAUCAUCAAUAUUUCCUCCCCAAUCACUAUCACUGUAGCCAACAAGAACAUUAUCCACAUUCCUUUUAUAGUGGAUUCCAUGAUCAACAGUUCCAAGAAUGUAUCUAAGAACUCUCUUUCCAGCUUCCCAAUGACUUCUCUUUGGUGAUGUCAUAAAUCUACUCAAUAAACUGACCGAGAACAUAAUAUCAGGUCUAGUUGUAGUUAAAUACAUUAAACUUCCAACCAAACUUCUAUAAAUGGUGGCAUCAAAAGCUUCACUAACAUCAUGCUUACUUAACUUUAAACCCAAUUCCAUAGGAGUACUGGCAGGAUAAGCAUUCUCCAUUUUGAACUUUUUCAACAAAUCUUUUGCAUACUUCUUUUGGAAAAUUGCAAUCUCAUUAUCACCUUGUUUAACUUCAAUACCAAGAAAAUAAUGAAGUAAACCCAUAUCAGUCAUCUCAAAUUCCUUUUUCAUGCUCUCUUUGAAUUCUUCAAUCAUCAUAUUUGAGUUGCCCGUAAAUAUUAAAUCAUCAACAUAUAGACAAAUUAUCAAGAAAUUACCAUUUUCAUCUUCUUUGGUGUAGAGAGCAUGUUCAUAUGGACAUCUUCUGAAACCAUCCUUUAAGAAAAAAUUGUCGAUGCGACUGUACCAAGCCCUUGGUGCUUGCUUUAGCCCAUACAAGGCUUUCUUUAAUCGACACACCUUAUUUUCUUCUCCAAUCUUUGCAUAACCGGGG
This 61791-nucleotide long non-coding RNA is filed under the name Cucumis sativus (cucumber). RNAcentral's name for it is "long non-coding RNA (CSAT_LNC000251)". The stretch from base 17537 to 17609 matches the Rfam family "tRNA". Lineage: Eukaryota; Viridiplantae; Streptophyta; Magnoliopsida; Cucurbitales; Cucurbitaceae. The record is from RNAcentral.